CGCAAAAUGGUGGAUUGAAUAUGGAUUAAGUUAAAUCCGCAUCUGAUCCGCAGACGUAUGGAUUGAAUAUAAAUUGAGUCAAAUCCGUAUCCGAUCCACAUAUGUAUAGAUUGAAUUUGAAUUGAGUUUAAUCAAUCCGUGGAUUUGAUUGGAUUGAAAAAUUAUAAUCCGUAAAAUUGUGUAUCGAAUAUGAAUUGAUGUUUAAUCCGUAAAAUCCAAUCCGCGAACACCCCUAUCGAAAUUUACCAAAUUACCAUUGAAAUCAUAAUUUAUUGAAUCAUCCUCAAUAUCUUAAAUUACCAAAUUAUCCUCAGUUUGGAUAACAAAACUAAUCACAAAUUUUGAAUUUAUAAAAUUACCCUCGAAGUAUGAAAUUACCAAAAUACCCUUAAUAACAUAAAUUAAGGAAUUACCCUCGAAAUCUCAAAUUACCUCUCUGUCCUAAUCGGAAAUUACCAAAUUAUCCAUUAUUUUCAUAAAUUACAAAUUUACCCCAAAGUUUUAUGAAAUUGCCGAAUUGCCCCUGCCUGUCAACAUUGACCGGACUUCAGUCAACGACGACGGGAAGCGCAGGUCUGAUAGUUCAGACCUCGGUGAGUCCAACGGUGCCGGCGGUGACCUUCCACGCGCGGAGACGGCGGCAGAUCGAAGCUCCAAAAUUCGUGAGUUUCCCGGUGGUCGUUCGCGGCCAAGACGGCGUCCCCGGUGGUCGUGGUCGGUCGGAAAGUGAUGAGUGUGAGUUGUGGAACAAGAUCCAGGAGGUAGCGUGGCUAAAAAGCCGGCGGGAUCGACGGCGACAGAAACGGGUUUAGCCGCGGCUUUUUGAGCUUCAAACGGCGGCUUUUCGGUCGGCUUUCAACGGCAAGGACGGCGGAGAUUUGACCGGCAUCUCACAAGCUUCAGAUCGGUACCAAGCUCGGCCAGUGAGGUGGCCGGAAUCCGCGGCUGGAGCCGGGUCAAUUUCUCUCUCUCCUCUCUCGCGUGCCCUCUCUUUCCUCUUCUGGAAACCAGCUCCCCCCUUUCUAUUUAUAGAAACUAACUUUUUUUUUUUUAAGAUUACUACUACUAAUUAACCACUAGAGCUAGGCCCAAGUGGUUCGAGCACCCUCCGUCGUAUUGCAAAAAUUUAAUUUAAAUAUUUUUUUUUAGAAUCUCAGAGUUUGAGUGAAAGCAUGAGGGGAGUUGGACGUCCCUCGAAUAUUUGAGAGGGUUAAAAGAUUUAAAUAAUGCUUCUGAAUUAAUGUAAAUUGGUCUCAAUAAUUUAUAUGGUUGUAAAUAUCAUGAGCAAUAAUUCUCCUAAAAAAUAAUUACUACUAAUUAAGCUAAUACCAGACUUGUGUCGAAAUAAAAUCCAACUACAUGGUCAUUGAAUCGUGUUCGAAUUGUCUCGAUUUUAAGUCAUGACAAAUUUAAAAUUAAUAUCGAAGGAAAAAAAUUAAAUAAUAUAUUUAAUUAGGAAAAUUAAAGUGCAUAUGUUACAUCUCAUCACUAAAUUUUGAGGUUUAUGUGAAAAUAGCUUCUUGUUUUUUAUUUAUUUAAUUAUCUUGUUAUAUGUAAUUUAAUUAAAGAACAAAUUACUAAUUGAAAAAAAUUAUGAAAUGAUGGGUUUGGAGAGUAAAUUCAUGAGUCAAAUUGCCUUAUCCUAACAUUAGAGAUCAAUAACGACCAAGAGGUUCAUGUUAAGAAAAAGAUCUUAUUGACUAAAAUUUUAAACCUUUUUUCUAUUUAGAUUUAUUGAAAAAAUAUGAUUUUUUUCAAAGAACCUUUUUGAAAUGGGGACUUACACAAAUUGUGAGGUGAAAGCAUCUCCCUCCCUUCUUAAAUACAUUAUUACUUAUUGAAAAAGUAUGACAACCAAGGGUUAAAAAAUUGAUUUACCGAAACUAUACUUUUCUUUCGUUUUUUUUUUUUGUUUUUUUUUUUCAAAUUUGGCACCUCAAAAUGCCCCCCAAUUCUAGAAGGUGGAGGGGAACAAAAGUUUAUUGAGAUGAUAUAUUAUAUAUUUAUAAAUUUUGGAUAUAAAAUUUUUGUUACGUAUAUACUAAUUGUGAUUAACCUGAUUCAAGUAAGACAACCAAGGGUUGAAAAUUGAUUUGGUAUUUCCCCAUCGCUCUCUACUUUUAAAAUGAAAAGAAAAAGAUCCUACAUAUGAAUCAUUCCUAUAUUAGUCUAAAUGUGAUGACAUAAGCCUAUAGAUUUCUAUUCUUGUCUACGAAGUCGUCUAAAAUCACUAUUCUUAAAAUAAAUUGGAACUAUUCUUUAUAGGUGUUGCACGUUUCAUUAAAUGCAUUUCAUAGAAAGGGGAGCACCGCCACUAUGUUAAAGAGGUCCGGGCUAUGGUGCAAAUGUGGUACUGUGCUAUAAUUGCAUUCUAUUGUUGAAUCUACUUAGAUGGGUGGGGUUUGUUGGAAUUCAACGGUUGAAUACAACUGUAGUACGAUAUUAUUUUUGCACUACAGUUUUUUCUUGUUAAAGAAUAAGUUUGCAUGUGGGCUGCAAUAAAUUUAAAAUUCAUGUUGCAACACAUAUAGCUGGUAUUGCUGGGCACUAUUUUUUUUUUUUUUUUGGUUUUACUGUCUGCUAGCUCAAUGAGCAAAAGAACCAAAAUCCUUAUCUUAAGCAAUUGCUACUAAUGGAAAACAAAAUUAAUGUAAGCCUAGUAUUCUUAUUGAAACAUGAGAACAUCAUAUGUGCAUCGAGCAAGAACAAUCUAGCAAAAUAUUUAAUAGUAAUGUUAUAAAUUAAAAAAAAAAGAAAUCCAGAUAUAAAAUUUGCAUUUGAAUUGACAUAUGAUAAAAUUUCUCUUAUCGAGCAAGAACACUCUUUUAUGGAUUGAAUUUAUUUUCUUCUCAAAAAAAAAAAAAAAAAAAAAACUAUGAAAUAGUAAUCUGUACGAGGGCUGCAUUUUUGUCCCAUCCUAACUUAGUGAAUGCAUUACACAAUCUCUUAUUAGUUAAAGUCGUUGUUUUAUUUUAUUUUGAAUUCUCUCAUUUACCAAGAUUCUCCUCUCUUGAACACGCGAGUGAUGUGACUUUGCAGUUUUUCUUUGAAAUAGAAACUAUUAUAGAUUAUAUUAUAAAAAGCAGUCAAAUAUUACAAGUUAAAUAAGACAAAACAUCUUUCAUAGUUAGGCAUUAGUAAAUUUAAAACAAAAUUAUGUAACAUUUUUUUGUCAGGUUUGUUUAUUAACUGUGUGAAGUUUGAAAUUUUAUUAAUUUUAGAUUUUUUAUAAUUUUUUUUAAUAAUUUAAUAUUUAAUUUUUAGACGUUUAGAUCUCAAUAAAAAAUUAUAUUUUUAUAAGAAAUGAUCUGAAUAAGAAGUAAAUAUUAUAUUACAAUAAUAUCUCUAUAAAAUAUAUUUAUUUCUUAAAUGAUAUAACGUAAUUCAUUUUUUUAAAUUUUGAUUGAUAAGGAUAGUAAUAUCAAAUAACUAUGUUAUUUGUUUAUUUAUAAAAACAAACAAAAUGUUACUUAUAUUUAGAUAUUUAAAAAAAAAUAAACAUAUUAUUUAGAUAUUUGUAUUCAGCAGCCUUAUUUAGACUCAAAGAAAUUCAAAUUCGUUCAGAUUUCGAGUUAAAGCAUCCACCGGCUGACUACAAACUCUAAUAAAAAUAUCAAGAAAAAAAUUAACAUUGAUCGUUCAAUUUUAUUAAUAAAAUACGUACACAGUUGAAAAGUUUCAUCAUCAAAUGAAAAGAGAUCAGCUGAGAUAGGAAGUAAAUCUUUAUCCCAUUUCAGAAACCCAGCUGAUUCAUUAGUCGUCUCCGCUUAAGCAUUGAAGCUUCAGACGAAGUGGAUGACGACGAAGGCGGCUCCGUAGAUGCAAGCCUGUUUUUAGUCUUAACCCUAUUAACCUCAGUAUUAGAGGCAACCAGGUGAGGGAAAUUAAGCUUGGCUUUUUGGCCGUGAAGUCUGAAAGCCGCUCGGUCGUAAGCCAAUGCAGCAUCCUCAGGCGUCACAAAUGUCCCCAGCCAAACUCGUGCCCCCUUCUUGUUCUUACUGUCCCUUAUCUCGGCAGCAAACGUGCCCCACGGUCUCGUCCUCACACCUCGAAAACAUCUUCGCACGUGAUGUUGACUCUCAGGCGUCCGAGGUGUCGUGGCUACGGCUGCUAUGCCACUGGAGUUACAGUCGUCGCUCGAAGUAGCGCUUUCCGAAGGAAACGGAGUAGGAAAUAAGUCGAAGUCGAAACCGUCAUCCUCAAGAAGAUACUGGCGGAUUGACUCCAAGAUAGCAAAUUCUGACUCCGAGAUGUUUUCUGUGUACAUUUAAAAGAAUGAUUCUAGAAAGCUUUCUUUCUUUAGAUCUGCGAGAGCUUUGUGUUUGCCUAAUUUUGUACAUCCACCAACAGCCGCAUGUAAUUAGCUACUAUAUAUAUGGGAGCCUCUAUGUUACAUUGAAUGUACCAUACACAAUCAAUAAGAACCACAUAAAUUAUGGGACCCACAUAAUUAUGUGGUUCUUAUUGGUUGUGUAUGAUACAUUCAAUGUAACAUAACAAAAUUCCUAUAUAUAUACGUCUGCUGCUACAUCUGCAUGUGAGGGGUCUCAGCACUAGUGUCCAAAUGGGAUUAAUUAUUUGUCAAGUCCCAUACACGUAUCUAAGAAUAGAUGGGGAAGUUAAUUUAUUUUUUAUAUAGGAAUCUCAUUAUUAAUGGCUCGUGCAUUAAUGUAUAUAUGCUAUAUGUUAGUUUUGAGGCGGCUCGGGCAUUUUUAUUAAAACAUCUUUAGAAGGUUCUAUUAAAUUUACUCUUUAAAUAUCUAUUUGUUUACCUAUAGGAUAAAAAAGAGAGUAAAAAAUAAUAAUAAAAAAUUAUUUAAAUAGAAAUAAGUUAAUAUUAUUUUAAUCAAAUAAAUAUUUUUUAAAGAAAAAAUAAAUGUUAUUUAAAGCACUUCUCUCUCACUCUUAAUUUGAGUGUCUUUUAAAACUUAAACGUUGAUGUGACUCUUCAAAUAAAUAAUAAAAUCUUAUUUAAAAAAGUGUUUUGGAAAUGCGAUUAUUCUUAUUAUUUGAUAAGUAACAACUGAAUCAUAUAAAAAAAAUUUGAUUUUGAGUUGAUGUAAAUUAACAAAACAAAAAAAAAAAUUAUUGAAAGCCGAUUGCAAUCUAGCACUAGCAAACUUGUUGAAUAUAUUAUUUAUGUUAAAAAAAAAAAGAACAUAUUCCUUUUUAACGUUAGCCAUGGUUUUACUUUUCGCAGUUUUUUUUAUUUAAAAAAAAAAAAAAAAACUGGAUUGGCAUCUAAGAGAGGUCAACAUGUACCUUCCAUAGAGGACAACAUCAUGAUUAAAAAAUUUUAAAAUCUUUAUUUAUUUGUAAGUUGCGAUAAAUUAAUUGUAACCAUGAGAUGGUGGUUACAACACUACAAAAUAAACAUUGAGCUCUUUUGCAACAGAAAACAUUUACAUAUAUAUCCAACAAUAAUAAGUUUUGCAUCAAGUUUUUUAUACCCGUACGGAUGAAGAUAAUUUAAUUUUAUUAGGUCCUUUAAAAAGUCGGGUCUUAAUUAACCUUAAUUCAACCCGCUCUAGAGGAGGAUGUAAGAUAAUUAAUUAAGUUACUACUACUUUUACAAUCAAAUUAAACUUGAACCUGACUUGCUAAAAUCAGAGACAUUAAUCUCACGCUUCUCAGGUGUCGUGACUAAGGCCAUUUCAUUGGAGUUAAAGAGUCACAAGGUGGAUUGACUCCAAGAUAUAGAGGAUGCAAAUGCUGACUUUGAUAUGAGAUGUGUUAUGGGUUCAAUUUUGACUUUUUAAGGAAGGUUUAAGAAAGCUUUGUUAGAUCUGCGAGGGCUUGGUGUUGAAUCUGUUGCCUAAUUUAUACAUUUAGCCAUUGCUGGAUGCACUUAUCUAGUGCAGAUAAAUCUGUUCGCUGCCCAAUGCGGGGGCUCACAAGGCUAGUGUCCAAAUGGGUUAUUUAAAUUUAUUUGUUAAAUCCCAUACACGCAUCUAAUCACGGCUGAGUGUUCAUAAAAUUAAGAGGACCGCUAGCGACUGUCCCACUCGUUAGUUUCUCUGGUUGGCAAGCGGCCUAUAUAUAUUUUUUGAUUUAUGUGCGAGUUCAAAUUAAUAAUAAACGUUGAUAGCUUUUAAUUUUAUUUUAAUAUUAUUAUCCUUUAUAUAGACGGAAUUCACUACAAAAUCUAUACUUAAAAAUCACUUGCAUUAAACUUUCAAUCGUUUUUUUAAUUAAAAAACUUAAUCUUUGAAUCAUUAAUUUACAUCUAAGAUUAGGAUUCUGCACAACCAUUGAUGAGUAAAAACUCAACUCUUACAAGAGACAAUUAACAUAUAUGCCCAUUCCCUCUCGCCAAUAAGAUUUCGAAUGCUUAUCCCCUCUUCAAAUGAGAGAUACAUCCUUAGUGCAAUGCAAGCUCAAAAUAGAUUCGUCAACUUUCAAUUUAAUUAUUCUUUUAUUCUAUGAAAAAAUGUUUUAUUUUAGAAAAUAAACAACAAAAUGUACUCAAUGUUCAUGACUCCUUCCCUCCACUUGCGUGACUUCGAAUUUGAUAUGGUAUUUUAUUUUAUUUUUAUUUUUAAUUCGUGCAGUAACGUACCUGUCCUCACAUGUGGAUAACGAUUAAUGUCCUAUGCUUUAAGUUCAGAGGCGGCGGGGAACCCAUUCAAUUUCAUAUAAAAAAUGAAUAGAAAACAAAAGGGGAAAAAAAAAGCAUAUUACAAUUUAGUACUAACAAACUUGUUUAAUUUAUUAUUUGUGUAGAAAAAACGAACAUGUUCCCUUUUACCGUUAUUGUCUUAGUGAUGUUAUUAAUUAUUGUUUCUAAUUCAAACGACUCUCAUUGCAUCACAACAACAUCAGUGACAAAAUUUGAUCAAAAUCUUAAUAUAUAUAUAUUUUAUAAGCUAUAGUUUAUUAAUUGUUACUAUGUUUCUGAUGGUUACAGUAUGCUCUUUUGCACCAGAAAAUACUACCUUAUCCAAUAUCCAAUAUUGAGUUUUGUACCUGCAGUUUGUUAAAUUGGCUGCAAUUAGUUUAAACUUUAGGAGUAUUUUGGCAAGUCAGACUUAAUUAUCCUUAAUCCAACCCACCAGAGGAAGUUGUCAGAUAAAAAGGUUUUAUGGUUAUUUUUAUAAUUAAUACUGUAUAUUUGAUCAAUUUAGUUAUUAAAAGAGUUGUAUAUUUCUAAAGUACGAAAAUGUAUGUGAAUUAAAUGUACAUAAUGUUAGAAUAAAAAUUAUUUUCACAAAUGUGCACCAUGUAUUUAUUUUUUUCAGUGUAUUAAAUCAUCUCGACUAAUGUAGAUUUGAGCCGGGUAGGACCACUAAGACGGCGGUAAAGUUCUCCCAAUAAUUAUUUAAUGCAGCUGCAUUCUUAAGUCUCGAACCGAGAACCUUAGUUAAGAUAAAACAGCCACAUGCCAGCUGAUUUACAUGCUUGUUAGUCACCAUAUACUUAUAAUAUUUAUAAAUAUAGUGUUUAAACAUAUACUUUAUUUCUCAAUAUUUUGAUCCAUUGAGGAUAAGUGGAGAACAUUUUACCUAUCUCUACCCAUAUCUGCUCCUUCCUUCUUAGUGCAAGGGUUGCGUGUAUAGUUAAUGAAAAAAAUAAGAUAAAAAUAAAACUUGACCGUUCAUUAUUUAAAAAAGAGUAGUGCUAGAGAGAGAGAAGCACGAGAGAAAGACGAGAGAAUUUUUCCCUCUCUCUCUCUACCCCUUUCUUCAUUGUUUCUCUCGUGUUUCUUUACAUCAAGCAUUUUCCUUUAAAAAAUGUAUAUGCUAAAAAAAUCCUUCUUCUAGCAUAUCUUGAUUUCUUUUUCAAUUUUUUAAAUGAAAAGGGUCCUUAAGUAACCUCAAUAUUGCUAAGAGAUGCCUCUUCAAUAAGCGAAAUUCUACAAUAUAUCUUAAUAUCAUAUCAGUCAUAUAAUAAGUAAAUAAUGUUAUGACAUGUGUGUAUUUAUUUUGAAAGAUUAUCAUACAAGCGUACGCAUGUCAUGCAUACACAAUUAAUUGUAUUACUUCUAAUGUGUUGUACAAUUUCUCUUGCAAUAAACGUAGGAUAUAAAACUUUCUUGACAUGUGCGGACAUGUACAUCAAUGCAUGAGUUAUAAUUAAUGAAGAUUCAUAAUCAAUUAAUUACCUAACUCAGCUAUAAUUAGGUAAAUGAAUUGUAUUAACAAACGGAUAUUCAUCAAAUUUAAAUCUCUCUUCACUAAAAUUCAUAAAGGUGAUUGGUGAUUAAUUAAUAAUAUUAAAAUAAUUAAAUUUUAAUUAGAAAUUUUUAUUAAAAGACAUAAGCAAUGCACCAGGGCUUUUACCAAUUAGCUUUCUAGUGUUUUAGCUAGCCGGCUACCCAAAAUUUAAAUCUAGAGGAUUUAUGCGACUAAAGAAUUGAUUUAAACUUGUCCUCCAUCUUAACUUUUUUAAAAAAAAAAAAAAAAAAAAAAAAAAGACAUAACACAGAGCUUAAGAUCAUGAUCCUGAUUCUUAAAAAAUAACAUAUUUGGAUGCUAGCAUUGUGACCUCCCUCACAAGGCUGGCUUUAGAGUAUAUGGGGCCUUAGGCAAAAAUUUUUUUGGGGCCUUUUUUUUUUUUUUGUAAUUUUAAUACUCAAAAAAAUAUAAAAGACUAAAAAAUUCAUUCAACUCUUAACUCUUGAAUUUUAAUAGUAAUAAAAGAGAUCUUAAAAAUUUUCAAAAACCAAGCCUAAAAAAAUAAGCAAGAAGAUAUCUUUUAUACUUCCAUUAAAAUUAUUACAAAAAUAAAUAAAAAAAUAUUAUUUUCAAAUAGAAUAUUUAGAAUAGCAGAAAGUUGAGAUGAUGAAUUGAUUAUCAAAUAAUAGAUAUGCACUUUAUAUUUUAUGAAGCUAAUAUUUUCUUUUUUAAAUGAAUCAAUGAAUGUAAUAAUUCUCUUUGAAAAAAAAGAGCAAGAAAUCUAUUUAUCUAUUGAUUUUUUAUAUUACAAGGUUUUAAUGGAAAUUAAAAGGAAUAUUAAAAGUCAAAGAAUUUAAUUUUUUUACAAAACUUAAAAGGUAAAAAAUUUAUUUAUUUUUUUUUGGAAAAACUAAUAAUGAAUGAAUUAAUGGCUAAACAAUUUUAUUAAUUAUAUCUCUUGAACAUUAAGGUUACCAAAUAUUGAUUUUCUAUAAAAAACAAUUCUUAGUUGUGGUAUAACUGUUAAUUAUAAAGAUGUUUAAUAGGCUUUUCUACAAUACAUAAUUUUUUUUUAAAAAUGAUCUUUAUUAAUUAUAGAACUAUUAAGAAAUACUAAAAAAAAAUGAGGCAUUCAAAAAAUAUAAGGCCUUAGGCAAUCAUCUUAUUCGCCUAUACUUAAAGUCACCCAUGCUCCCUCAUGCACUAUAUAUGUAUAUAUAUAUAUAACCUACACAACCAUCGAGCUUAAGAUUAUUUAAGGUUUUUGCGUGAAUGAGAUUCUGAGCUUAUUCUUGAUAUAAUCUUGAGAUUUCUUUGUGAGUUUUGAGCGCUUUUAUUGUAAAUCUAUUUUUUGCUGUGAGAAUUGUUGCUGCUCUUAAUUUUGUAAUCACUUGAGCUGAAUAAUUGUCAUCCGCGAGCCCCAAUUGGUGUUAUUGUUGGUUCAGUUAGCAUCCAUGAGCCAAUUGAGGAUUUUGUAUAGAUUUAAUUAGCAACUGGAAAGCAGAUCGUUUUUGUUUCAGAUUAAGGCCAUUGAUAAUAGGAAUUUUCCAGCAGGAUUGCUUGAAGUGUGCAAAAUUGUCGAAUCACAUAAAAAUUACAUAUGCCAAUACUUCUCUCUUAUCCCUUUUUCUUUGAUAAGAUUCAACACAAGGACUUGGAAUAAGAGAAACAAAUCUGCUGGAAAUCAGUUUGACAUUUAUCUCGCAAUAUGCACAUCCUUGGACAAAGGCUUAAUUGGACAAGACUUGUCUACAACUGCUAAGAGUAUUUUUAGCCUAGAUUCUCUCUUCUCAAUCAUAUCUUAUAUUUAAUAGAAAAUUCACCUAUUGUUUAGGUUAAGUAGAAUAGGAUGUGAUUCCUAGAUUGACUCCUCUUUAAGUAUAAAUUUAUCAUGGUAAUGUGAAAAAAAUAAAGCAGGCAAAUAUACUUUCUUUCACUAUUAAGUUUGCAUCAAAUAUUUCAUUAUUCAUUACAUUUGAUCAGCAUCUUCAAUAUUUACUUAUUUACUUAUUGCUUCUUCUCUUGGCAUUAUUUACUAUUCAUAUUUUAUUGAUUAUUCAUUUCUUAAAACUGAGUUUAAUUAAGUACAUGUGUUAUUUUGGGGUAACUGAAAGGGAUUUGAGUCAUUUAUUAAGUUUAUAGUUUGAAAUUUGACUAGACUUAAAUUUAUUUAACUUUUUUUAGAAGAGAUUCAAAUUUAUUAAACGAAACAAAAGAGGAGAGUUUAUUUGAACUUAAAUUUUUUACACAAAUUUUAAGCUAUUGAUCUCAUCAUGUAAUCUAAUGGUACCAUGGUAGAUGAAUUGAUAUUAUUAAGUACUACUUUAAUUUUUAAUAUCUGCCAUUGGAUUACAUGAGAUCCAUGGCUCAAAAUUUGUAUUAAAUUUGAAGUAAAAAAUUUAAGUUAAAAUACCCCUUCUUUUAAAUAUGCAUAACCUAAUUCGCGUUGCCAUCUUGGGUUGCCACAUUCUGAUUUCAAUCUUCAACAUUCAUUACAGACAAAAUACACAUGUCAGAAAGAGAUAAUUAAGAUUUUAAUAGAGGAUUACUGUUACAAAUUAAUCAGCAUUUGGAGAUUCAGUCAGCCAGCACUGCAUACAUGACAGAGAUGAAGAAUAAAACGAAGAAGAAGACGAAGGACAAGAAGAGGAAGAAGGCUCCGGAGGUGCAGGCUUAUUAAUUCUUAACUCUAAUAACCUCAGUAUUACUAGAUUUAGAGUCAAUGAGAUGAGGAAAAUUAAGCUUAGCUUUUUGGCCGUGAAUCUUGAAAGCUGCACGAUCGUAAGCCAAUGCAGCAUCCUCAGGUGUAUCAUAAGUCCCCAGCCAAACUCUUGCCCCAGUGUUCUUCUUGCCAUCCCUAAUCUCCGCUGCAAACUUUCCCCAGGGCCUCUUCCUCACGCCUCGGAAACUUUUUUGAGGACGCCGCAGCUGCAUGUUAAAGCAGGCCACGUCACUCGAAGCAGUCACAUUAUUGUUAUUGCCGCUACUUGUUUCCGAAGGAAGCAAAAUGGGAAUGUCGUCGAACUCGUCGUCGUCGAGAAGAUACCUACGGAUUGAGUCCAAGAUAGCAAAUUCUGAAUCUGAGAUAUUUUGUGCGUUCAUUUUUCCUUUUUACAUUAAAAGUUAAGAUUCUAGGAAGCUGGGUUUCUUGAGCAUGCGAGUGUUUUAUGUUAGACUGCCUAUAAUUUAUACACCUACAUGUACCGUGACUUGGCAAGGAAAACUUACGUGGGCAGGCGAGGGCACCACCUAACUCCGUUGAAGUAUUAUGGUUAAUUAUUGAAAAGAUAUUAUUAUAUAAUUUUGCACUAGUACUACAUAAAAUUAUUUAAUAUUAACCACUACGGUCUAAUCCAAUCAAUGUGGAUUGCAAACAUCAUUCUAUUCUCCUUGUAUUAUUGAUGUUGAACCUCCAGAAAAAGGUUGUUAAUUAUUUAUAAAAGUUACGUAUGUAUUAUUAAUUAAGACAGGAGUACGUUCAUUAGAAAAUGACAAUCUUGAAUUAAUUGAGGUCAAGGGGCAUUUGAUGACUUAGGUUAAGUCCAAAGGCGGCUCCUCCCCCAGCCAAUUUUGGCGGUGGCAGGGAGCCACGGCCUAUAAAAAGACGAAAUAAAAUAUCAUUUCAAUUAUUGCAAUUUAAUUGUUAAGUGUACGUCCAAUACUCCUGUUGCUUUAUUCAAAGUUGAAUUACCUUAUCCUUUCACCUUGAGCACGACUUUGAUUAUUUGGACACGAGGCAACUGAAAUAUAUAUAUAUAUAUAUAUAUAUAUCCAAAAUAAAAUUUGGGAUCGAUUUACGGUAUCGUAAAUUAGUUUACAACAUUACAAAACUCUAUUUACGAUGUUGUAAAUCCAUCCCAAAUUUUAAUCUCGGAUCGAAAAAUUUUCCUAUAGAUAUGAUAAUGAAUCUCUUAACUUAUUAAAAUAAAAGAUAAAUUAGUAGAUGAGAAAAAUAAACACUAUAAUGCGGUAUAUUUUGUCCUAUAAUAUAUGUAUUACAAUGUAUUUUUCUUAUCUCUUAGACAAUCCCUCACUUUUAUAAAGUACGGAAUCAUUUAUAUAUAUAUAUAUAUAUAUAUAUAUAUAUAUAUAUAUAUUCUUUAUUUUUGAAUGAACUAUAAAGUCAUGGAAUUUAAUAGUAUUAAAAACUAACUCUAUUACAUUGCAAAGAUUUAUAAUUCAUUUAAAAAAUCUGUUAAAUUCAAUGGCUUAAGAGCGUGUUUGCAUUAAAAAAAUGAGAGCGUAUAAAUAUGUAUAUGUGUGUGUGUGUGUGUGUGUGUGUAAUAAUAAUAAUAAUAAUCUGCGUAUAAAGUGUGGGACGAGUUAACAACAGCGUGAAAAGGUUUUGGAAAAACGCCAUCUAUACCUCCCAAUGUUUGGAGAAAUGAUUAUGUAGAGUCCUAAGUUUUCAAUAAGGUACUAAGACCCUUUUUUUACUAUAUUAUCCUUUGGUUAUUAACUAAAAAAAAUUACUUUAAUGUUCGAUAAUAAAUAGAAAUAUAAUAUUAAAAUAAAUGUAACAAUAUAUACAUUUUCAAAUAAUUUCAAUGUUUAAACAAAUGUUUUAAUACUUUGCAGUCUUAUAUUAUAUUAAACUAAAUGUUAUAAUAAUUAGAACAUAAUAUUAAAAUAAGUAUCUAAAAUUUAAAUUAUUUUCAAUAUUAUAUAAAAUAAUUUUAAUAUUAUUAAUACAUGAUAUAUAUUUCAUUAAUUGUAAAAUCUGUUUAACCCAAAGAUUUAUUUAAAUUUUUUAAUAAAUACAAAUAUAUUAUUAAAAUAAAUAUAAUAAUUUACAUUUUAAAAAUUAUUUUUAUAUUAAAAAUAUUCUAAUAUUAUUAAUCCAUUAGACAAUUUAAAUUAUUUUUGUAUUUAUUAAAAAAAUUUUAAAGUCAAUUUUUUAGUUACUAUCUACAAAGGGUAUUAUAAUCAAAAGGGAGUUUUGAUAUCUCUUAUUGAAAAUUUAAAGUUCUACAUGACUAUUUCUCCAAGCCUUAGAGGUGCAUGUGUCAUUUUCCCAAAGACUUUUACAAUGUUAUCAAAUAGUAGAUAGUGCUGUAAAUUCACACCGUUGUCAAUUCAUUUUGGAUUUUAACAACAUUUAAGAUCUCGAACCAGAGAACAACUAUAUAUCAUGAGGCAACAAAACAAUUUCCUUCAUUCAUAAAGACUUUAACUGCAUGAUUCCAUUUUGCUAAUGUGUUAUUACGAAGCUGUGGCUUAAAAAGCCACGGUCAUAGUUUUGAAGUUAAAAUGAUUCUAUCUUACAAUUAUUUUGAUAAAAAAUUUUGAAAUAAUUUUAUUAUUUUUUAGAUUGUUAUUUAAAAAUCUAUAAUAAUUUUAUAACUAAAAUUUUUGUUUCACAACGCUUAUUCGACUCUUUUGAAAGAGUCCACCUUGAACUUCUAGGACAAAAUAUUGAUGUAAAAUACUUUACCAACUCUCCAAAAGUUUUUUUAUUUUUCAAACUUCUCCAAUCUGCAAUCUUCAAAUUCAAUACUUAAGAUAAAUUUUAACUCGCCUAUGCACACUCCUGGAACCUCAUGUUCAAUAGAGAAAAUAGGAUUUAAGCUUCACGAGGACCAUAAUGUAGAAAAGAUAAUUAAUUAUCUUUUGCACUUUUUAAUAACAGAUUAUAACGUAAAGUUAGUAAAAUUGAGAAGGCCAAUGAUGAAGCAUAAUAGAGGAAAUAUAAAACUAAUAUAGGUUAUAACAUAAAACACGUAGAAAUUGGGGGAGGCGGGAGGCGGGAGGAGGGUGGGGGACAAAUGUAAAAUGUGCACAGAAUAUGAUAAAAUUUUAAUUGAGUCCCUUAUUUUUCUCUAUUUUUCAUGGGCCCCCUAAGCCUCUCCAUAUAGAUCCACGUACCACCAUAUGCACUUGACUUUGUGAUGCUCUAAUGUUAUCUAGGGAACAACCUUUGAUGUAAUCCCAUCAUAAAAAAAUUUUCUAAUCCAGAAUUAAAAUUUGAGAUGAGUUUAUAAUAUUAUAAACCGUCUUUUAUAAUGAUAUAAAAUAAUUAAAAAAUUAGUCUACAACGUUAUAAAUUCUUCUAAGACUUUAAUUAUAAAUUUUAAUUUCAGACUUAAAGUUAAUUCAUCCCAUCAUUUAUUUAAUAACAGUUGACAUCAGCUACAAUCUCAUAAUUUUUUUUUUUUUUUGUAAGUUUACAUCAUAAAAGAUGAAUUGGACUUUUAUUUGUUGUUGUUGUUUUUUAAAGAAACUUCUAUUGUUUGUGGUUUAUUACCUACCGUACAUAGUAGUUAUGAUUUGUUUCUAUUUAUUUAAUUGCAAUCUAUAAUCCCAUUUUGAUAAAACAGAAUGCGAAAAGUGACCUAAGCUGUACAUGCCGUUUUGUGCUCCUUCCCAUUAUAUAGCUCUUUCGAGCAAAGAAUGAUGAUUAAAAUGACAUUAUACUAACAAAUUAACAUCUAAAAUUAUCACAUUAUACCAAUUAAAACACAAAUAAGCCAUAUAUAUAUAUAAUAUAUAGAAGAGAAAUGGAAAAUCAUACCAAAAGCACGCUAGUGGGCCAGAACAUUAGCUGCAAUGUUGAAGCCCCCAUAAAUGCAAUCAUUUAUUAAUAUAUUAUCCCUUCUCUUGGACUUGAAGAAUCGAGCCCAUUCGGAAGAAUUGGGCUAUGGGAGCCUCAACAAUGACCAAGCAGGUGGCAGCUGCACUCCAUCCGAACGAAGUUUAAGUGCCGGUCCUUUUUGUUUUUUUUAAUUAAAAUUAGUUUUCUCAAAUCUCACCGAUUGCAAUAAAUGUUAGGCAUGUGAGUCGUGACAAAUGAUAUGAAAUUAGUCUUGAGGAAUUAGCAUCUAAAACCAUAAGACACAACCAAUUGAAAGACAAAAUUAAUUAAAAUUAUUUCUUAAUUGCAAAGGCAAAAGCAAAUAUGGUAAUCAUACAAAUCCAACACUAGUUUCAAGAUCUAAUCCAAUUAUAUUUGUCCAAAUCCAAAUUCAAAGUCUAAUCCAUAAAAGAUUCAAGAAUUGUUUAGAGAAUUAGAGAUAUUUCUACUCUAAAAAUAUCUAAUGGUAGUAAAAAUGCCUAAUUCUAAAUAUUUCUUAAAUAUUUGGAGAUAUUUGUAAAAUGCAGUUGUCAUAUUUUUGCAAUCUAAUAUCUGUAUAGUUUGUACUUCUAAUAGGUUAUUAUAAAUACAUCUAAACUCUUUGUUGUAGGCAUCAUGAGAGUAAUAAAGAAUAAGAGAGAAAUAAGAAGUGCGAGUCGUGAGCGCUGUAGGUCUCUCUUGUAAAAUAUUAAUAAAAUCCUUCAGUUUAGUAAAAUUCUUUUGUUGCCCAAAUAGUUUCAGUCUUGAAUAGUUUAGUCAUUUUCAGUUUUCUACAAUUGGUAUUAGAGCAUGAUUGGUCGGCGACCAUUGUAGCAGUGCUGCCGAAAGUUCACAACAGUCAAAGAUUGUCAUGCAGAAGCUUUAAAAGUAUAGCAUGGAUGAUCGAAGAUCAUUUGGUGGAGUUUCGUUGAAUCGUGAGGGGUUUGAAACCCUACGAGUUUGUUGGUAAAGAUUGAGUUUGCUUGGCAUUGUUAAAGUCUUGCAUAUAUGAUGGGUGAUCGUUAAGUAGUUAGAGGAGUCAAGAAGCUCAACAACAAAAAUUUCAAUACAUGGGCAACAUUAAUAGAGUCCUACUUACAAGGCCAAUACCUCUGGGAGAUUGUUUGCGGUAACAAUGUGGAAGCACUAACUGAGGAUGCCACUUUAAAAACGUGGAACAUUAAAGCUGGGAAGGCCAUGUUUGCCAUCAAUAGUACAAUUGAAGAAGAGAUAUUGCAACACACAGAAAAGGCUAAUAUACCUAAUUAAGCUUGACACCCUUUUACUAUGAUUUUUUCAAAGAAGAAUAACACACGGCUACAACUUUUGGAGAUUAAACUACUGUUAAUUUUAUAACAAAACAUGACAAUUGAUAAGUACUUUAAUAAGGUAAAGUACUUAUGCACACGAAAUUUCUAAAUUGAUCCUACUCCUACAAUUUCUGAAUCUAGAAUAAAGAAAAUUAUUGUCCAUAGUUUAAGGCCUUAGUUUAGGAGUUUUGUUACAGUUGUCCAAGGGUGGCCAACUCAACUAACUAUUAAGGAAUUUGAAAACUUGCUUGCCAAUCAAGAAGCGAUCGACAAGCAAACGAGUGAGACCUCAGUAAAGAAUAACAAGGAAGUGCUCUUCACCGACAAAAAUAAACAUAAAUUUGGACGAUGUAGUAGUGGAGGAUCUAAAGAAGAUGUCAAUAAGUCAAGAGGUUAGGUUAUCAACAAUAAGGUAGCUUAUAGAUAGGUGGAGUACAAAGGAAUCAUGGUAAUAGUGGCCAAUACAAGCUAAAAAAAGUUCGAAGGGAAUUGCUACAACUCCGAAGAGAGCCAUAUAGCAAAAGAUUAAUGGUCUAAGAAAAAGUCUAAGUAGAGUAAUGCCACCACUUUUAAUCAUAAAAAGAAUAGUGACAAAGGAAUGGAAAACUAAAGCAUCAAUCGCCAUUAAAGAAGAGGAGCUAGCCCCUCACAAUCACAUUACCUAGCCAAAUUAAACUACGAGAAUGAUUGGAUCGUUGACUUAGGGUGUUCAAAUCACAUGAUUGAUGAUAGAAAAAAGCUACAAGACAUGACUAAGUACAAAGGAGACCAUGUGGUAGUAACAGUAAAUAACUCGCGACUGCCAAUAACUUACGUUGGCACUAAAGUUACUUAUAUCUCGAUAUGGUUUACGCAAAGUGUCACUUUCAAGAUGUGUAUUAUGUCCUAGGUAUGAAGAAAAAUAUAUUCUCAGUAUCACAUCUAACAUCACCAAGCAACUAUGUCUUGCUCAGUUCUCAAGAUGUCAAGGCGUAUUAAUAUUUAAAGAUCUCAAGGACACGUAUUAUGGAAAGACGAAGAUUAGAGUUAGUCUAUUUAUCAUCAGCAUAGUCUAUAUAAGUAGACAAGAUAGUAGAAUUAUGGCGUGCUCAGUUGAGAUAUGUUAUCUAAUCACAAAUUGAAAGUGAUGAUGAACAAGUUAAUGCUCAGAGGUUUGCCUCAACUUGACGUAAGAAUAGACACAAUAGAUGCAAAAUGUCAAUAUGUUAAGGUUCACCAACUCCCAUAUGAGGACUCAAAGUUAAAAGCAAAAGAACUAUUAGAGUUUGUACACUCUGACGUGUUUGGGCUUAUCAACCAACCUUCUAUGAGUGUCAUGGGACACAUGGUCACAUUUAUCAAUGACUUCUCUAGGUAUGUCUAAGUCUUUUUUAUAAAAGAAAAAUCUGACACUUUUUUAAAGUUUAGGAAAUUCAGAGACAUAAUUGAAGGAGAAAUAGGAAAAAAGAUUUGUCAUUUAUGAACAGACAAUGGAGGAAAGUAUAUAUCAAAUGAGUACUCCCAAUAUCUUUGAGACUAUAAGAAAUGCUAUCAGUUCACUUGUGUUAAUAUACCACAACAGAACGGCGUAGCAGAAUGAAAGAACCGAUAUUUAGUAGAGAUUUCUCAGAGUAUAAUACAUGUGAAGAAUGUACUAGAAAGGUUUUGGGUCGAAGCUUUGAAGACGACAGCUCUUGUAAUUAAUAGACUCCCUUAAUCAAAAUUAGAGUUUAUAUCACCUUACGAUAAGCUAUAAAAUGUAAAACUUAUGCUCAAGCCCUUUUGCAUAUUCGGCUGUGUGUGCUAUGUCUUCAUGUCAAGGCAUUUACGAAGCAAAUUUAACAAGAAAGCGGUUCAUUAUAUCUUUAUUAGGUAUGACAAUUAAAGAAAAAGAUGGAAGUGUUAUGAUCCUACAUAACACAAACGUGGUGUUUGAUGAAGUACCUUUAUGGUGGUCUUUAAAAAAAAAAAGAGGUACCAAAUUCAAAACAAAUUGAAGAUCAAAUGAAAGAACGAAUUACUUAAACUUACCCAAGCCAAGAAGAAUAUGAAGAUUCUAAUGAUCCAAAAUUCUGAUGAUCCAAAGGAUGACAAUAUCGAGCAUAAGAGGACGCAAAGUCUUUGGAAGAUAGUUCUUCACCAAAGCCCUAUUAAAGAAAAGAACAAAGUGAACUAGAAUCAUGAACUCUUAAAUCUCAACUUAAAAGAUCCGAAAGAAUUAAAAAGCCAAAUCUCAGGUAACUAAUGCAGUAGUUGCAGAAGAAGAAAGAAUAAAAGAACAUGAGACAUUUAAAGAAGUAGUAGAGAAUUCUUAUUGGAUGAAGGCAAUAGAGGAUGAAAUCACUGCACUUAAGCAGAAUCAGACUUUGGAUCUGGUUUUGAAAUCAAAGGAUGCAAAACCAAUAUCUUGUAAAUGGGUGUACAAGAUUAUGAAGUGCCUAGAUGGUUCAGUUGAAAGGUAAAAAACUUACAUGCUAGACUAUAACAAAAUGUUUAGUCUGGUAGCGAAGUUCACAAUAGUAAGAGUUCCACUUGCACUCGUAGCUAGUAAAGAAUGAAAAUUAUGGUAGAUGGAUUAAAAAAAAGUCUUCUUAUACAAAGAAUUGGAUCGAGAGAUCUUGCUUUUUUUACUAGUAAAUCUGAAUUUGCAUGGAGAAUUGCAAAAUGGAUGAGAUUGAUUUUUUUUAGUCAUGAAAACGAUCUACCAAAAAAAAAAAGAUAUAACAACGCUAAGAAUUAUGGUAGGGCAGUUUAUGAAUGCCUACAUGGUGGACUUGACUUUACUAAAGAUGAUGAGAACGUGAUUUGGAUCGAGAGAUCUACAUGAAUCAACUAAGAGGAUUUGAGAAUAAAAUUGAUCCGGAGUAUGUAUUGGCACAUGCAGAUUCUAAGGAAAGUUAGCAAUUGUACUGUUGUAUGUGGAUGAUUUGAUUCUUAAUAGUAACGUUGAAGAAAAGAUUCGUUGAAUAAGAAAGAACUUAUCAACUCGGUUUUAGAUGAAAGACCCUAGUCAGCUUAAGGAUCGAACAAAAGAUGAUAUAUUUCUUUACCAACAAAAAUAUGCCAAAGACUUGCUAAAGAAGUUUAGAAUGUUGGAAUGCAAGCCAAUCUCAACUCCAAUCGAAGUCAAUGCACAAUUGUGCACAAAUAAAGGUAAAGAUUUACAAGAUGAAAUAAUGUAUCAACAACUGAUAGGGAGUUUAAUCCAUCUAACAUUGACUUGACCACACAUUUUAUAUGCAGUGGAUGUAAUGAGUUGGUACAUGCAAAAUCUAAAGAAAUCUCACUUGUAAAUGGUUCGAUGAAUACUAAGAUAUGUGAAAAAGACAAUCGACUUCGGUCUGUUAUACAAGAAAGGUGAAAGCUUCAAGCUGACUGGCUAUUGUGAUUCUGACUACACUGGAGAUCAUGAUACAAAAAGAUCAACUACUGAAUACAUUUUUAGAAUUGGGUUGGAGAAGUUUUUUAGUGUAGUAAGAGACAAUCAACUCUGUCACUAUCAAUCAUGGAAGCAGAGUAUAGUGAUAUGGUACUGUCGGAAAAAUAUCAAUUUAACAAACAGCAGGGUCAUGAUCAUGAACUCGAUGACCAACUUGGAUUACAUGCAUCUGAUCGUUCUGAUAACGUAGUAAGAAUUCACAAGUAUUAGAAUCAAGUAGGUGAGGAAAAUUAAGUACGGCUCUAACAACGUGCAUUUUGUAAGAUGCUCGAUCAUAAGGCAACGUAGCACCCUCAGGUGCAUCAUAUGUCCCUAGACAAAGUCGUGCCCCGUUUUUAGGAUCCCUGAUCUCGGCUGCAAAGCGUCCCUUGGCCUUCUCCUCACACCUCGAAAAUGUUUCUCCUCGUGGCUCUCACGCGUCUGAGGGAAAUUAAGCUCGGCAUUUUGGCCGUGAAUUUGGAAAGGUGCUGGACCAUAAGCCGAUCCAGCAUCCUCAGGCAUAUCAAAGGUCCCCAACCAAACUUGUGCAGUAUUCUUAUUAGGAUUCUUUAUCUCCCCUGUCCACUUUCCCCACGGCCUCGGCCUCACACCUCGGUACUUACUCCGCACCGCCUUCUGACGUAUCGUAUCUGGGGUUGUUGGUUCACUUUCGUAAUCAGGUUGAUCAAAUAAAUCAUCAAGAGGAUUUGAGGAGCUUAUCAGUUCGAGACAUGAAUUGACAGUUUCAGUACUUGAAGAGUUGCCCGCAGAAGCUGCCAUUGAUUGGUCAAGAAUUUGUUGCUGUAUGUUUGAGUUCGAGUUUAAUGACUUGAAUUGAAGAGAGAAAUGGAGUUUCAAGUUAUGGUGAUUGAAUCGACUGAAUCAUUUGGAAAUUACUGGUGGUAUAAAAUAAUGAACAAAACAAGCAAUACGUAUGGCAUCACAUGGAACAUUUGAAAAUUUACCAUAAAUUUUCGAGAAAUUGAAUAAAAGCAACUCAAUGCGAUGUUAAUAAUCAGUCAAAAAAGACUAAAGCUUCCGCUUGGUGUAGCAGAAAUUGAAGACUUUUGAGAAAGGAAGAUGACUCCUCUCUUUUUCUCCCCACUCCACCCUAGAAGCCAAUUUAUCAGUUCACAGGUACAUACAAAACUAACAAGGUCGCCAUAAUUUUCUUCUCUCAGAAGGACCAAAAAUGGCAUCUUACAACCCAUGGACAUGACCUUUCUUACAACUCGUCAUUGAGCUCUUCCAGCCCUGAAUCCCAGACUCAGCUAUUAUUUCUUAUUUCGUGUUCUUGCCUCUUCAUUGUUUCACUUCUGUUUUCUCUUCCUCUUGAACACCUUAAUGGAAAUCUUGUUCCAGCUUUGAUAAUUUUUAAGGCACACCCAUUUCUGUUUCAGGCCCGUGUGAUUGCAGUCAUGUUAUCUUUUGGGGGAGCAUCUGGCGCGUUCUUGAUUGGAAACAAGGCCCAGCUGGUAGCAUUUAGGAGAUUUUACUCCGUAAUGUCCUCUGUUUCCAUCUCAUCAGCAUUGUCAACACUGGCCUGUGCCCUGUUUUUGGAAAUUUUCAGGAGGGUCUCAUCAGGAAUAAUCAAACUAAGGGAUCUCAAUGAGGACCCAGUAGAUUCUUUUCAAUUCUACAGCGUUGUAUUUCAGAUAUUUAGAAAGAUGGGUCCUACUUCUGAAGAUCAAUAAACAAAAUUCAAUCUUUUUUCAGUUGCAGAAUUGAUUAGUUGAACUAUUUUGUUUCUCAACUAAGAGUAGACCUUUUGUGUAGUGUAAAGAUUUUUCGUUUGUUUGUUGAUUAAGUGAGCAGAGAGGAUCAUUCCAGAAACAAAUCAUUGUUGUAUUUAUCUCAGCCUCAUCAGAUUCGCGAUUUUUGUCUAUUCCUUUUUUUUUUUUAAUGUAAUUAAGGCAAUCAAUUUGGAGGACAAUAAGAUUAGAAUGUUGGUGACGCAUUAAAGCUGGAAAUCUCCAUUAUCAAAUAUGAUUACUGAAGCUUUAUUGUUGUUCUCAUUAGUCAUUAUUCUUUCUUGUAUCUGGUAGUAUAAGAAACUAACCCAUCAAACGAAGCUCAAAAUUUGGAGGCCAAAGUUUAUCAAAAUCAAAAGAAGAGGUCUUUGUGCGUGCCAUUGACUUAUCUAUUGUAUACUCCUAAAUUUCCUUUUCCAUUUUUAGCUCAAUUUAUCUCAUCCUUGAUGUUAUUUUGCUUUGAUCAACUUCUUAUUAUACUGUUUGUUAUUCAAGUGUAGGGAUGCCAAUUUAUCCUUAGCCUUAAACUAAUGUGACAAAUGCUAAAGAAGCAACUGAGAAUGUUCAGCACAAUCUUUUCCUUCACUUUCUUAUCUAUUUAUACGUCAGUGCGUGGCUUGAGUAGCAAGCAUCUGUUGUCUUAGUUACCGCUGUCAUUUGAUCUAAUGGUUAUGUUAUGAUUCAACUGAUCUAACGGCUACUGCUUUACAGUAUCAUGAAAGGUCCAGCUCGCUACACACAUUGAUACUACUUGCUUCACUUAGGCAUUUUGUCAAACACCACUGCACUUUUAACAAACACUUGUCUCAACAUUAAACAAGCUCACUUUUUAAUGUUUUGGUAAAGGUUUAUCCUCCAUUCAAUUUAAUAUUUAUAAAACUAAUAAAAGACGAAAUUAAACAAAAUUAAUUUUUCUUAAUAAAAAGAAAUGGAAGAAUAAAUAUGUUCAUGAUACAGAUAACACCGGCAAAAAUUAACAUAAGUUUUUGGGGCAAAAAUAAGCAGGAUAAGAACGUAAACCCACAGGCAGCGGCAACACCUCCUAGUGCCGUUAGAAAUGGAGCUGCUGGUUCAGAUUUGCCGAUAUGUUUCAAGAUGGAACUGCCCAAGCUGGAGUAAAAUCCAACGGCACAGCUGAUCCCCGCCCCACGCAUGAGAAUUCUUGCAUUGGUGGACAAAGACGAGCUGCCUGAAAACAAAAUUGCCAACAAAGCAAGACACUCUUCGGUUGAGAGCAAGAGUAUUAUCUUAUUCAGUUUAUCAAAAUCGAAUGGCGAUUCUUCUCUCAUACUUUGAGCCUGAGACAGGGCUACUCUGCUCUCAACGUCUCUAUCUUCAGAUGGAGAAGCAGAAGCCCUUAAGCUCUGAUGAUUGGAAUCAGAGGAUGAUGCAUUCUCAUUCAAUGGGGUUGAGGCCAGCCCAAUUGAACUAGCUGAAUCAUGAUCAACUUGGAUUAUAGUGUGUUCCUGAGAGCUCUCACCGUCCAGCUGCUGGCUUCUAAAAGCAGUUGCUUCAUCAUAAUUCGACACACAAACAAAUUCAUCAAGAUGUGAUCCCCCACAUAUUGUUUUUCCCUGCUUGCUAACAUUCACUGGUCCUUCAGCUUUCAGAAUUACUAUUGGCAACUGUAACUGCUGAGAGCUCUCCCCAUCAAGGAACUUUUUCUUGCAUAUAGAGACUUUUCCUGUACCACUGUGAUUCUGUGAGCUCUCCCCCAAGUGCCAGCUUCUAAAUGCAGCUUCACCGUCAUAAUAAGGCCGCAUAGAUUGACAUUUAGGAUGAGAUCCUCCAUAAAUUGGCUUUAGCUUCUUUCCAACAGCAUCCGCUAACUUGAGAGAGCUGCCCCCAUCAGAUGACCUUAACUUGCAAUUAGCUAGUUCUUCUGUACCAUUUUGGACUUGAUUGCCAGCUUUUCCUCCAUUCUGCAAGCUCCUCUCGAAUUGCCAGCUUCUAAAACCAUGUAGUGCAGUAGAUGGAAAAUCAGGAAGAGAUUCUCCACAAAUUGGCUGAUUUCGUUUCCUUCUAACAGCAUCUGCAUAAGCGGCUUCAUUAUAAAACAACGCAGUAUCUGCAGUUUUACCGGCUGCCCACCACCUUCUUGACGCCCUAUGCCCACCUAAUACCCCAUAUUUUCGACUAUAAAGUUUGGGCCGUGAAUUGUAAGUUUCCCAUGUUGAGUGGCCCACAGAACCUGUCAGUGAUUGAUCACAUUCUGAGAAACUAACAAAUCAGAAUCUGAGAAACUAACAAAUUUAAGAGGAGAUCCUCCACAAAUUCAGAGUAAAAUAAAUCAGGUUCAGCACAUAGAGCUUAAGACACUAGCUAACAACAUAUGCAUGGGUUUUGUUCAUCUUACUUGGCAGAUCCCACGGAUCAUAUUUGUACAUGCCAAUUUGCUCGAUGGGCUCAAUAGCGAGAGGCCUUUGUUGAAUCUUCCUCCUUAAAUAAAACCCUAGAAGCUCCUCAUCAGUUGGAUAAAACCUAAACCCUGGUGGUAGCAUGAUUUCAUCCAGCUUAUCAUUUUCAUUUCUCUCAUCCAUUCUUUGUAGCAAAUCCUAGUAGCACGAGGGUCCUGCCUCUGAAUAAUCAGCCGCCUUUUUCUGGUGACUUUUGAAGAAGUGCUUGUUUAGCGUGGAACAAUGCGUUGGCUCAAUCAGAAGCUUGAGGCAAAGGAAAGCAACAACUACCAAGAAAGUAAAAGCUUAUAAAAUACCAGAAAUCCUAAAAUCACAAAGAUCAUCAUCAGACUAAUUUGUCAGGAUAUAACUUGUCAAAUUGAGUUAAAAUGAAAGCUUUUAGAUCAAAUCCAUUUUUUCAAAUAAGUCAAUAUGCAUGUACCACUAAAAAUGACAACCAUAAACUGGGAUAGGUAGUAUAAAACUCAGUAAAUAAACUAGUUAAUUACCUACUGAUCAUAAGCGUACAUAAGAAGCCGGACAAAUAGAUCUUGCUUGAGUAAAGUUCUUCACAGAAACAGAAAGUGUUGAUGAGAAAUCUGUAAUGGUGAAGUGCAUAUCAUUUUGAGUAACUAAGAAAGGAAGGACUAGGGUUGUUGGUGUGGCUUCAAAGUCAGAGAAAAUAUGGGAUUCUGAUUUAGUCUUUGGACAGCAGGGACUUGAAAAAAUUAUUAAACUAGUAAAAAUUAAUAAAUAAUAAUAAUGAGUAUUGAAAGUAAACUUCUAGGAAAUUGAAUGAAAACAAACCGAUCCCACAUUUUCAAGGUCAAUAAAACAAGAUUUAAGCAAAUUCCACUUCCACAGCCGUGCCGAGACAAAAGAAAAAAUAAACAAUGAUGAUAACAAUAAUAAAGAUUGGUUAGAUGUAACUUUCUGAGAAAUUGAAUCCAAAGCAACCUAAUCACAUAAUCAAGUUGAAUAAACAAAGAUUAAAGUUUCCGCGUUGGGCAGCUAUGGAAGACUUUUGAGUGAGAAUCAUCUUCAUUACUCUCUCUCUCUCUCUCUCUAUAACCAAAUACAAUCUAAAAGCUCAUAUCAGUUGACCAAAUACAGACAAAAACCAACAAAUUAACCCUAAUUUUCUUCUUUCUGCAAAACCAAAAUGAGGCUUGAGAUGAAAAAGAUGGAGUCUGAAGCCCAUGCAGCUGACCAAGAAUCCCUCAGCAAGUUUACAACUCUUAUUCUGGGAUUCUGCAUCUCCAUUGCUUCAGUUGUAUGGUUUCUUCCACAUGAAAACAUAGAUGGAGAUCUUGUUCCGGAUUUGAAAAUAUUUACUGAGCACCCGGUUUUGUUUCACGCCCUCGUAAUCACCCUGAUUUUGUCAUUCUCCGGAGCAUCUGGCGCGUUGUUGAUAAGAAACUUUUCCCGGCAUGCGACAGCUUGGAGAUGUUAUUUCGGAGUUUCCUUGGUUUCGGUGGCAUCAGCUUUAUUAAUACUCGCCUGUACGGUGUUUCUUGAAAUUGUCAGGCUGGAUUCCUCAGGUUUCAAGCUGUGGCAGUUGAACGAGAAAGGAGCAGAUUCUUUGUUUCUCCACAGCCAUAUGUUUCAGGUAUUCAGAAAAAUCUGUCCUGCUUCUCAGGAAAUCUCUGAAAUUACUUGAAAGCCAUGUUACUAUGUUAGAAACAGUAUUAAUGAAAUGGAGAAUUUUUCAUUUAGCAUCAUUUCACUUGAUUUUAUCUCACUUUUACAUGUACUCCAUACAUGUUUGGGUAUUUAAUUCCAGCAUUUCUCAAUAGAAAAACCUGAUGUCACAGGAACAUAAAUGAUUCAGGAAAUCAAUUGCAAGGACAACAGUCUUACAAUUCCUUGCACAGUUGUUAAUCCAGUUUUUGGCUCCAAAUUUGGGGGAAAAAAAUCAGACGAAUGGCAAAAUUUCCUCCCAAAUAAUUUGAAAAAGGACAAAAUGCCAGUUAUAAAUUCUUGAAUUAUCAUGCUGGAGUUAUGUGUAGUUGGAAACAAAAGAAAUAUAUAACGACAACCUGUUAUGAUCUAGUAAUGAUGACCCAGCAGAUGCCUUAUAGUUUAACUAAGAAUUGCUCAUAAAGAUCAUCUAUGCAAUCAACUAUGGACUUCAACACCUCAUUGACAAUCAUAAAUUGACUGCCCCAUGGCUCAUCAAACUUGAUAUCAAUAAACUGAACAAGUUAAUCAAAAUUAAUGUUUCUUAUAAAAAGAAAAGGAAGAAUAAAUAUGUUCAUAAUACCAAUAACACCAGCAAAAAAUAACAUCAAAUUUUCGGGCAAAAAUAAGCAGGAAACAGAUGUAAAUCCACAGGUAGUAGCAACAUCUCCUAGUGCCGUCAGAAAUCGAGCAGCCGGUUCAGCUUUACGGCUACAUUGUAAGCCAUGACUGCCCAGGCUGGAAUGAAACCCAACGGCACUGCAGAUCCCCGCCCCACGCAAGAGAAUUCUUGCAUUGGCGGACAAAGAAGUGCCCACACUAAACCAAAUUGCCAAUAAAGCUAGAUCCCCUUCGGUUGAGAUCAAGAGGAACAUCUUGGCCAGUUUAACUAUAUCGAAUGGUAGUUCUUUAUUCAUACCGUCUCUAUCUUCAGGCGGAGCAGAAGCUCUUAUGCUCUGAUGAUUAGAAGCGGAUGAUGUUUUUUCAAUCAAUGCUGGUGACAUGAGUUGUAUUGAACGAGCAAAGUUGUGAUCAACUUGGAUUGUAUGGACCUCACCGCCACGACCCUGAGCCCUCCACCCAAGGUGCCGCCUGAUUCCGAAAGCAGUUACCCCAACACCAAGCGGCACUCCAAGAAAUUCGUGAUCAGAUUCUUCGUAAAAGUUCUUUGAAUUGCCUCUGUCUAAGAAUAUUUUCAGAAUGGUUAAUCCAAAGUAUUUUCAACUGACAAGAAAAAGCAUAUCCAGUGGCUAACCCCUAACAAAACCAAUCUCAAAAACUUGUAAAAUAGACUCUAAAAACACGGAAUCCUUGAUGAGGAAGAGACUAAAAAACAAUUAACUGCAUCAAGUGCUUAUUAGUGAUUAAUUAAUUAGUCACUCAAGUCACCCAUUGAUCUCAAGAAAUGUUAACAGAAUUAGUCACAGCUACUAAAUUUGUGAUAGAAAUCUGAUAUACUUCUGCCUGGUUAGCCGUUAAUAUUGAAAGUCUUUUAUAUAGCUGCUGCUUCGUAUCAUCUUUAAUAUUCCUACUUUCUAAAUAUGGCCACUUGAAGUGAUCCUUCUAAUAAAAUAUGGGAUAUUGAUGACAAAGUUAAUUAUUAUAAUUCUCCCAUUGAAAUAAUUUAGUUUGAAAAUAAUAAAACCAAUCCUGCAAGCAUGAACUGUUAGAAUAGACAAGCUGCUCGAUGAAAUGCCUCUAUGAGCAUUCUCAGCAUGAACCUCAGCAUAAGCUCUCUGUAGAGUUUGCUCAGUAUAAACAUCAACUAAAGCAAAUCUCCGCCCAAGAUCUCAAUCCAAGAUCAUUACAAGUUGCAUUCAGGACUCGAAGAUUAAUCAAAGUAGAUAAAAAACAAUCUAAACAACUCAAUACAAUCAAGAACACAAACUGGAUCUAAAUGAAACACAGAGCACAAAUCAAAAGCUCAACAAGAACACAAUGUUACGUGGUUCGGUCUUCGAGUGACCUACGUCCACGGGUAAAACAUCAGAGCUGGCUUUAUUGAUUGAUUCAAAGAAGAAGAUUAUAAAAACUGAAGUGAAGAUUACAGAGCUCAAGAAAAAGCUUUCUUACUCACAAAUCUCUCACUGGAACUCUCUAGAAUGAUCCCAGAAUGAGCUUGCUAACUCCCCUUUAUACAACAGCUGCUUAACGAUCUGUAAACCCAGAAUGUACAGGAUUUGGCCACGUGUAAAAGUCGUUAUAACGACCUUGAGUUCACUUAAGCAUUCAAGUGACAAGUCACGUGACAAAUGAAAAACUGUCAUAGGCAAAACGACCGCUUCAGUUGCCGUUGCAAGUUUAAAUAAUCAUGCUUCAUUCACGUGAUUUCCAAGCAGCUCAAACAUUUACAAAACGCUGCCGUUUUCUUUCCACAAGUGUUUGAAUUCAGCUGCUCAACACUCUCUGUCCAGCAUGCAUCGGAAUGGAAACGGACUCAGCAGAAAGUGGCUACUAAUAAGGAUGAAUCAGCAUACACAUUAAUUCUCUAGAUAGCUCAUGGACCAGAAUAAGGAAUUACUUUAAGACAAAUUUACAUUGUUCUCUCCAACUGACAUUGAAUAGUAUAAUUAGAUUGUUGAGUACGGCAUAGCCAUUAGAUUAGAAUUACAGCUGCAAAUUUACUGGGUAUUCCUUGCCAAUGAAGAAUGCAUUUUGUAUCUAUUAGAAUGGUGAAUAUUAUACAAGUUAUGCUGGGUAAAAAUUCAGUCUUCAAACUUCCCUGCUUUGCGUUUACAUCUUUAAUUCUUUACUUAUUCAAUUUCUAUAGUCUCCUCCCCUAAUAUUCUGGAUUUUGGCCUUACUUUGGAAGUAGGAACUCGUAAGGCCAAAUAAUCAAAUAAUAAGUAUUUGGUAAUGCAGUUUCUAAAAGCUGAAAGGCAAACAGAAAAAUGAAAUAAAGAGAGGAACAAAAAUGACAAGAGAAGGAAGAUAUUUACCUAGGAGGUCUGGUGUUUCGCACUGCUUUUUGGGCAUACCAUUGGGCAUGAUAAUAAGGUCUUAUCUUCUUAUCUCUCUUUUGGCCAUACUUUCUCCAUCUAUAACCAUCAUCAAGUAUAUCAAUUUCGCUGCUUGUUUGAAAAUCAUAUCUGGGCUCUCUUGUUUUCUUCAAUAUUCCUACAAAGCUUUUGUUCUGAGUAGUGCCGUUGACAGUCUCAUUCAAACUAGCAGCUGGAGCUUCAUUCUCUGACAUAAAUUCCACGAAACCACUUGGCUUGUUACCUUGAAAUUGAGCGCAGGCUUGUAAAUGAGACAGUGCUGGUGAGACUAGCUGUAUUGGUUUUGAACUAGCAGAGUCGCGAUCAUCAUGACCUAGAUGAUCAACUUGGAUUAUAUGGACCAUCUGAUCGCCAUCGUCUUCAGAGCUCUCCCCAAAGUGCCAGCUUGUAAAAGCAGUUGCUUCAUCAUAAAGAUGAGAUCCUCCAAAAAAUUCCUUGAGCUUCUUGGGAGGAUCAUGUAGUACCGGAAACUGUGACUUUUGAGAGCUCCCCACUGCAAGUGACUUUUUCUUGCAAGGAGAGAGCUUUUCUUUGGAAAAUAGGCUAAUUGCAGGAUCAUUCACUAUCCUGUUUCCAAUUUUCUCUGCAGGAUGGAGGUCCUCAGUAAAAACCUUGCAUAAAUAGUCUCUAGUGUGGUGUAAAGGCAACAACAAAAAUAGGAUUUUGAUUUCUCGUGGGAGAUAAGUUGAAAGUAAAUUUCUAAGAAAUUUAAUGAAAACAACCUAAUCCCCGGUUCAAGAUCAACAAACAAAUUUUUGAAAGUGGCAUAAUGAAAAGGGUAUUCUGAUUUCCAUGGGAGAGAACAGAAGCAAAGACUAAAAUGAAAAAAUAAAGAUCAGAUUGAUGUAAUUUUCUGUGAAACUGAACCCAAAGCAAACCUAACCCCAUAUUAAAGUUCGUUUAAGAUUAAAGUUUCCCUCACUCUGUCUCUCUCUGUCCUAUCCAAUCGAGAAGCCAAAACAAGCUAACAUUUACAUACAAAACCAAUAUAUUCAACAUAAUUUUCUUUUUUUCUGCACAACCAAAAUGAAGCAUGAGAUCAAGAAGCUGGACUCCAAAGCCGCUCACCAAGAAUCCUGUAACAAGUUUCCAGCUUUUAUUUUGGGAUUCAGCUUUUUAAUUGCUUCAUGCGUUUGGUUUCUUCCUCGUGAAUACAUAGAUGAAAUCUUGUUCCUGCUUUGAGGAUAUUUACUGAACACCCAAAUUUGUUUCAUGCCCUAAUAAUCGCCGUCAUUUUUUCAUUCUCUGGAGCAUCUGGCGCUUUGUUGAUCAGAUACUUUCAGGGCAUGCAUCAGGUUCUUUCCUUUUCCGCCGCAACUACGUAUUUCAGGUAUUCCGAAAAUUCUGUCCUGAUAUUCCGGAAAUCUCUGAAAUUACUUGAAACUCAUUUUACCAUGUAAUAAACAGUAUUCAUGGAAAAUAUAGCCUCUAAGUUAUUGGAGUUUUCUGAUCUGAUUUCAUGUAAUUAAACACUACAUGGCAAUCUGAUCCACUUUUUAACAUAAAAGAUUCAGGCAAGUGAUUAAUGAGACAAAAUUCUAAAUAGUAUAUAAUGUCUGCGUUUCGGUUUUCUUAUAUAGUCCUUAAUACUUUUUUUUCACUAUUUCCACUCCAAAAUGGGGGAAGAUUUCAGAUGAACAGAAAAAUUUCCUGCCAAAUCUCAAAUAAUCUUAUUUAUUUUGAAUACAAGGAGCAUUAAAUAAUCUUGUACUAGUGUGAUUUGAGCAAGAUCAAAAUCCCCAGUACAAAAAGUUUUGAUUUAAUCUACUGGAGUCAUGUGGUAAUUAACUUGCAACAGAAGAAAUUUACAAGAACUGAGAAUUCUCAUGAAGAUUAUCUGUGUAAUCAACUAUGGACUUGCAGCUAAGCCCUAUAUAAAAAGAAAUGGAAGAACAAGUAUGUUCAUCACACAGGCAACACAAGCAAAAAUUAACUUGAGUUUAUCGGGCAAAAAUAAGCAAGAAACUGAAGUAAAUCCACAGGCGGCAGCGACACAUCCUACUGCCGUCAGAAAUGGAGCAGUCUGUUCAGCUUUGCCAAUAUAUUUUAAGACAGAGCUGCCCAAGCUGGAAUAAAAUCCCACAGCACUGCAGAUUCCCGCCCCGCGCAUGAGAAUUCUUGCAUUGGUAGACAGAGACGAGCCGCCCGAAAACAAAAUUGCCAACAAGGCGAGACACUCUUCAGUUGAGAGCAAGAGUAUAAUCUUGUUCAGUUUAUUGACAUCAAAUGGCAGUUUUUCGCUCAUACUUUGAGCCCGAGAGAGGGCUGCUCUAGUCUCAAUGUCUCUGUCUUCAGGCAAAGCAGAAGCCCUUACGCUCUGAUGAUCGGAAGCAGACGAUGAUGCAUUCUCAUUCAAUGAGCUUGAGGCCAGCUUAAUUGAACUAGCCGAAUCAUGAUCAACUUGGAUUAUCAUGUGUUCCUGAGAGCUCCCCUCACCCUGUCGGAUACUAAAAGAAGUCGCUGGCGGGGCACAAAGAAAUUCAAGAGGACACCCUCCACAAAUUGCCUGGACCUUCUUUCUAACGUCCGCCAGUCCUUUAGCUUUCAGGAGCACACUCUCCCCAUCAAGGCACUUUUUCUUGCAUAUAGAGAUCUUUCCUGUACCUCUGUGGUGCUGCGAGCUCUCUCCGAAGUGCCAGCUUGUAAAGACAGUUUGUCCGUCAUAAGGCCGCAUAGAUUGAAAUUCGGAAUGUGAUCCUGCAUAAAAUGGCUUUAUCUUCUUUCUGAAGGCAUCGGCUGGUUCAUUAAUGUCAGCAGGUGAAAAUAGUUCCCGCAACUGUAACUUGCGAGAGCUGUCCCCAACAAGGGACCUUUUCUCGCAAAUAGAGACUUGAUGGCCACCGCCAUACCACGAGCUCUUCUCUAGUAGCCAGCUUCUAAAAGCAGCUUCUCCACUAAUUGGCUGAUAACGCUUCUUUCUGACAGCAUCUGCUGGUACCUGGUUAAGGAGACGAGGAAAAUUAAGUCUGGCUCUCGGGCCGCGCAGUGCACAAGCGGCUUCAUCAUAAGCCAACGCAGCAUCCUCAGGUCUAUCAUAGGUUCCCAGCCAUAGUCGUACUCCCUGAGUUGAAUCCUUUAUCUCCGCUACCCACCUUCCCGAAGGCCUCUGCCUCACACCUACGAACCUCUUCUUAGGACGAAGUCUGAGCAAUGGAUUGUCAGUUUCACAUGCGGAGUGGUCCACAGAAGCCGCCAUUGAUUUAUCAGAAUCUGAUGCCGUGUGUGUGAGAGAUCAAAAGAAAAAUGAUAAAUACGUGUUAGGAUCCCACAUCUUGUGGGUUCGUUACAAUUUGCAUGUUAUUUUGAUUCUCGUCCUUUAAAUGGAUUAUGCCCAAUUGUUCUGGCCAAAUAUCAUAUCUUCUUCUAAGAACUUGAAUAAAAUCAACCUAAUUCAGUUAUCUAAAAUCAGUAAACAAACACAACACAAAGCAAUAAAUCACAACUUGUGCAAGUUCUAAAUCUGUGAAGUAGACAUGAAAGCACAAUAUAUACGGGUGUUCAAACAUUUAAACUCAUAAAGCCUAGAAAUUUGUUGUCGUUCCAACACUCACUGUUAUACUAAAUUAGUAACAAAGUUGUAUAUAAAUGAAACCUACCUCCUAUAUGGAACAUAUCUUGUGCAAAAUGUUUCUCAAAACAAAAUUCAAAUCUCAAAUCUUUUUCAAAUAUCAGAAAUCCUAACAUCAUAAGGAUGAAAAUUGAGGAAAAACAAAAUCUUUAAUGUCAAAUCCACUUUGUUACUAGUAAAUAAACAAGUCAAUUACUUACUGAUCAUCAGAAGCAUAACAAGCCGGACAGAUCUUGCUAGAGUAAAGUUCUUCACUGAAUCAAAGACUGUUGAUGAGAAACCAAAAAUAUUGAAGUGAGUUAGACAAGAAAAAUUAGUUUGACAAGAAAAAUGUCGCAGGAGAGAUGGCACAGAGCAGUCUCAAGAAAAUUAACAAACUAGCAUAUGACAACAAUAACCAUACAGAGUAUGUGGAGAGUAAAUUUCUGAAAUUGAAUGAAAACAAAAACCAACGCCAUAUCCAAGGUAAUGUACACACGUGGGACAGUAUAAAGUCGGCAUAAUCCUCUUCCACAGCAUGACAGCCGAGCCUAGACAGAAGAUAAAAAAUAAUAAUAAUAAUAACGAUAAUGAAGAUUGGUCAGAUGCAAUUUUCUGAGGAGUUGAAUCCAAAGCACACAUAACGUAGUUCAAUUAACAAACACUUAAAUUUCGUCUUCCUCUCUCCGUGUCUCUGUUUCUCUCUCCAAUCCAAUCUAGAAGCCAAGAUCAGUUCAGAUAUACAUACAAGAACCAAAAAAUUCACCACAAUUUUCUUUUUUUUCCUUUUUUCCUGCACAACUAAUAUGAUUCUUAAGAGUAAGAAGAUGGAUUCAGAAGCACAUCCAGCUGACCAAGAAUCCUUAAACAAGUUUCCAGAAUUUAUUUUGGGAUUCUGCAUCUCCAUUGCUUCAAUUGUAUGGUUUCUUCCAUACGAAAACAUAGAUGGAAAUCUUGUGCCGGAUUUGAAAAUAUUUGUUGGGCACCCAAAUUUGUUUCAUGCCCUAAUAACUGCCGUCAUUAUGUCAUUCUCCGGAGCAUCUGGCGCGUUGUUGAUCAGAAACUUUUCUGGGCAUGUAACAGCUUGGAGAUGUUAUUUCGGAAUUUCCAUGGUGUCUGUGGCAUCAACCUUAUUAAUACUGUCCUGUACGGUGUUUCUUGAAAUUUUCAGGAUGUUUUCUUCCGGUUUCAAGUUGUGGCAGCUGAAUGAGGAUGAAGCAGAUUCUUUCUUCGUACGCAGCUAUGUAUUUCAGGUAUUCAGAAAAAUCUGCCCUGCUUCUCAGGAAAUUUCUGAAGUUACUUGAAACCCUUGUUACUAUAUGUGUUAGAAACAGGAUUAAUUAAAUGAAAAAAAUUCUCAUUUCAUUUGAUUUUAUUUUACUUUUACACGUAUUGCAGAAUUUAUUAUCCCCUCCGAAGAUCUCCACAAAUAUUAUGUCAAGCAAAUAAUAAUAUAAAAAUUAAAUAGAGAAUAAUACUAAUCAUAUAACAGGAGGUUUAAAAUUCUAAAUCCAGAGAAAAAAAACCACGACUGUUGUUAAAAGAUAACUAGAAAAAAAAUUUAUUAUUUAGAAAAUUAUUACAACUCUCAAUAAUUUUCCUCUCAACCAAACUCCACUUACACCCAAUGAGAGCAUCUAAAAAGGGGAAAAAAAUCUUCUACCUAAGUUUACAUAUGUUCAUACUGCAGGAGCCAAAGGCUUCCACAAUAUUAAUUACUUUUUCAAAACUUAAUAAGAGAAUUUUUAUUUCUCUUCAUAUGCUUCAUACUUGGAUCUCUCAGUUUGGUUACAUAAUCCCGAGAAAUACUCUUUAACAAAGAAAACCGGUAAUACCAAUAUUGAGGAGCCAAAUGCUCUGACAGUAUAACUGCAUACUUAAGAAUAUUUCUCUUUAUUUUAAGAACACCGAAUGCUUCUCUUGCAUUUAUCAAAUGAAUGCUCUCAAUUGGGACAUAGAGCUUCGAAGAGAGCCCUCCUUUUAUAGCCAAACAAUGGCUUUAUAAAUCAAAAAUUUCGACUUCAACAUUCAGCGAAUGCGGCACCAAAACAAAACAGGAAGCAAUUUUAAAGCAACAAAUGCUUGAUCUUACUCUCUUACUUUUGUCAAAACAAGGAAACAUGGCGCCCACUCUCCCGAAUUUGCUUUGAGUGUGACUCCACUCUUGUUGACCUAUGGAAUGUUGGCAAUUUUUUUAAUCAAUUUUCAACCCCAUAUUUUUAGGAAAUUUUAAUUUCACCUAAAAUCUUGCAAGCAAAAAUAUCAAGUAAAUAAUAGGAAAAAAAACCACAGUUGCCAAAGAUGACGAGAGAAAGAUCUAUUAUGUAAAAAAUUAUUACAAUCAUUCUAGUAUUUUUCUCACGCCCAAAAUCUUAAUAAUACCCAAAAACUCAAUAACGCACAAUCUCUUAAUAGACUCACUGUUUUUCUCAUAGUAGAAAUUAUCUACUUACAGAGAACUGAUUUGUGUGUUAUAUAAGUAAAGUCAAUCUCCCUAUAUAUAGAAUAUAGUGAUUAUUUUAUAAGAAAAGGAUUCCUUUUUCUUAUAUUAGUUCUACUCGUCCUUGAAUAAAUCAAGUCUUAAAGGUGAAAUUACUUAUUCUUUAAAUAAAAAUCAUACUAAAGAAGAAAAUAUCUUAUGAAAUCAUUAUUGAAAAAUAGUAUUAUAUUUCUUAAUAACCUCUACCUUGGUGAGUUUUUCAAUUAAGCAGCAAAACAUGAUCUACUGUAUAUCCACACAACUACUUCGUCUCCACGUUUUUUACGCCACCAAAACCACACUCACAUAGGACUUAUGAGGAUCACUCUACCAUAAGUAAAAUUUUGUCCUUUAUCUAGAAGCCAUAACUCUUUAUACCGAGAAUUAUCAAAUUGCACCUUAUCUAUAGUAUACAUAUUCGACACAUGUCAUUCACUUUAUUGAAAAUACCUACUCUCAUGUUUGGUUUCAUUCGAAGUCCUCAACCAUCAACAUAAAAAUUUCACCACAACUCACAUAAAUGCCAAACCAUACCUUGUGUGCAAAUCUUAUGGAACUGCUACUAGUAACACAUCCUCUUCCAUGGAACACCAGAAAGGAUAAACUAAUCUCCCAUGGAGAAAAGAGACACACCACUAGUUGACAUUAUCUGCAUCUGCAUCUAUUGAUUUAUAGCUAUUUUCUAAACUUCCUUUAUUCUAACAAUCUUCUUUAAAGAGCCUUGAUUGUCUACACACCUCCAAGGAUUUCCCCAAGUAGGAAGAGGGUUUAUAUUGUCCUUGCUUUUCUUGUAUAAUUAGAUUGAAUUAAUAUAUUCUUGACUUGAACUUGUCACAAGCUAAAAUUGAUUCUUCCUUCAAACUUCAACCUUAAUCCUCACAGGAUUUGAAAAUUUGUUUGAAGACAUAAUUUCUUUGUAGAAUAACUUAGCUCUAAUAAUACUUAUUAAGAAAUUUUAAUCUCACUCAAGAUCUUGCAAGUAAAAAUAUCAAACAAAUAAUAAAUAAAAAAUAGGUGGAGAAUAAAACCAAUCACACAACACAAGAAUUUAUAGGGAAAACCCUUAUAUUGGAGAAAAUCCAUAGCCGCAAAGGACAUAUUAAUUCAAUCCUAUGAUGACCCAGCUGAUACCUAAUGGUAUAACUAAAAAAUGCACAUAAGUAUUAUGUAUCUAAUCAACUAUGGACUUAAUUUGUCAUGAUUCAACUCCACAUUGACCACUCUCUUAUGACAUAAUAAAUUCUUAGCGCUAUUUGAAAAUUUAGAACCAGGAAUGGCGGAGAGCAGCACAUAUAUCACCACUAGUUCUGACAUGAUCAUCAGUAGCUUCUAUUCGUCAAGUAAAUAUGUACAAUAAAUCAUCAUGCAAUAGCCAAGAUCUAGUUCAUCGGUAAGCAUACACAUCAGAUAAGCAAUAACAUGUGAAAUUCAUCAUCAGUUUUGCAAGUCCAGAUAACAACUUCCUAAAUAAUAACUUUUCACAAUAAGCAACUUCCAUAGAAAAUUUUCAGCAACAUGAAGAAACCAUUGGAGUUGAAGUACAACACAUAAGAGCGGAAGAAUGUCAAGGGCAUGCUACUGCUCAUGAACCAAGUCGUCUUUGUUUCACUAAAGUUAUGCCACGUCACAGAUGACAAGAGAAUGCUAGCAUUGGCUGAUAAGAUCUUGCUAUUGCUAAAAGCGUAUUGCUUGGAACAAUGUUAUUGGUUGCUCAAUUCCUUUAGCAGGAAAUUUGCUAGCACAGAUUACAAAGAAUUAUGGGCCCAAAUAAUGUCAACGUAGAAAUUCCUCAUGGAUAUAUUCUUAUGUAAUUUCUGAAUGAUCGAGAGCUUCCUUUGGACUUUACAACCCCGGAUCAUCUUCUUUGAAAGAUAUCUUUAUGUCACGGGAUGAGUGUUUUGCGUAGCAAACCCGUGCGGCACUUAGACAACUUUGUCGAAUGUUGCUAAGUAAACCUUGAGCUUCUCGACUAGCUAAGCCUAGAGGUUUUCGAAGAGUUAGGGGGAAGAGAGCAAUGGAGCCGAAUGAGGAAAAUUGUAUUACCCACAAGAAUGCUUACAAGAGAGCUUACAAGUGUUUGAGUUGCUUGCUCUAAGCUUGUUGUGUAAAUGCUAAAUGCCAUGCCCUAUUUAUAGGGGAGGCUUGCCAAGCUCUAAAGAUUCAAAGAAUUCUACCACUUCCUAGCUAUUUACAUGUGCUGGAAAUGUAUGGAGUAUUCUAAAGUAUUUACAAGCUCAAUGUGCUAGAGUUGCUUAGAACUUUCUGGAAUUGGGCCAAGCUAGCACUCUUGGCCUUGUUUUGGGCUCUUGGUGGGCAAAUUGAGCUACCAACUUGGGCGGUCCGCAAUAUCCUCCCCCACUUAAGCUCGUUGCGUCCUCGUCGCGCUCUCGUGCUUGAAAUUCUGGAUGUGCUCAGCGAAUUGCCACAAAUCAUCUUCUCAUUCCCAAGUGGCUUCACUCUCGGGGAGGUUUUUCCACUUCACUAAGUACUCGUUAUGUGGUGGCACGCCUCUCAUCGAAACCACACGAUCCGCAAGGAUGUAGUCUAUAUCUUUGUCGAACGAGGUGACAACGACGGUUGGCGUGCGCCUUGAUUCUCCACGACUUGGGUCUUCCACAUCUCCGUGGUAUGGCUUGAGAAGGCUCACAUGGAAGACCGGAUGGAUCUUGAGUCUUGGCGAAAGUUGGAGUUGAUAUGAGACGUUGCCCACACAUCGUACAACUUGAAAAGGUCCUUCGUAGCGCCUCACUAACCCCUUGUGGACUUUCUGCAACGUCUUGAAUUGUUGGGUUAGGAGUUUGAUCAUGAGUUGAUCACCUUCUUUGUACUCAACAUGUCGUCUCCUUGUAUCCGCCCACUUUUUCAUCUUCCUCGCGGCUUUGUCGAGGUAAGCUCGCGUGAUGUCAUCUUCCUCGUGCCAUUCGCGGGCGAGCUUGUGUGUCGCGGGGCUUUUUCCUCUAUAAGUUGAGGCUAUGGCGUUGGGGGUCAUGGGUUGGAAUCCCAUGAUGAUCUCGAACGGACUCUUGCCCGUAACUUCACUUCGCUGCAAGUUAUAAGAAAAUUGGGCGAUGUCGAGUAGUUUUGCCCAAUCCCGCUGAUGAGCGCUCACAUAAUGUCUCAAGUACAUCUCGAGGAGGCCAUUGAUGCGCUUUGUCUACCCAUCCUUUUGUGGGUGAAAGCUUGUCGAGAACUUGAGAUUAGUCCCCAACAUCUUAAAGAGUUUCGUCCAAAAACGCUCAUUGAACCGAGUGUCUCGGUCGCUCACAAUGCUCUUUGGAACUCCCCAAAACUUCACAAUGUGUUUGACGAAUAGGCGGGCUGCUUCGUCCGCUUUGCAAUCGGCUGGUGCGACAAUGAAAGUGGCGUACUUGUUGUAACGGUCAACAACGACCAUGAUGCUACCACCACCUUCGGACUUGGGCAACGAUGUGAUGAAGUCCAUGGAGACACUCUCCCAUGGCCUUGUUGCGAGUGGUAGCGGUUCCAAUAAUCCUGCUGGAAGUUGAUGAUCCACUUUGUCUUGUUGGCACACAAGACAAGUUCGCACAUAUGCCUCGAUGUCGUUCCUCAUGUGCGGCAAAAAAUACGAGACUUGGACUAGUGCGGUGGUACGCUCAAUUCCUGGGUGACUAGCCCACUUGGAGUUGUGGCACUCUUUGAUAACUUCCUUCCGUAAAUUUCCCCACCUUGGCACGAACAGCCGAUCUUCCUUGGUGAGGAGGAUGCAUUGCUCUUGCCAAAAGCGCCUUGUCUUCCCCUCGAGCACCUUCUCCAGCAAGUGCUUUACUAGUGGAUCUUGUUGGAGGCCUUCCUUGAUGCGGGAGAUAAGGUUGGACUUCGGUUGGCUCAUGCUAAGUGUUGUCAAUUCCGCCUUGUGGUUUAGAGCGUCCGCAACGACAUUGGCUUUCCCCAGUUUGUACUCGAGCCGAUAGUCGAAUUCCGUUAGAAAAUCUUGCCACCGUGCUUGCUUUGGACUCAACUUCUUUUGUGUUUGAAAGUAACUUGUCGCCAUAUUUUCCGUCAUAAUCAUGAAGUGUGAGCCAAGUAAGUAGUGUCGCCACACCCGCAAACAAUGUAUGAUUGCGGUAAUUUUCUUCUCUUGCACUGUGUAACAGCGUUCCGAAUCAUUCAGCUUCCGACUCUCGAACGCUAUGGAGCGGCCUUCUUGCAUAAGGACUCUACUUAUGGCGAAAUCCGAGGCAUCCAUUUGAACUUUGAAGGGCUUUGUGUGGUCCGGAAGAGUGAGGACCAAUUCCUCUGAAAUUGCCUUCUUUAACUCCUCAAAUGUGUGUUGGCUUUCUUCGGACCAAUGCCACGUUCUAUUUUUCUUGAGCAAAUCCGUUAAAAGUACCUCCUUCGCUGAGUAACCCUUGAUGAAGCGACGGUAGUAAUUCACCAGCCCAAGGAAUGAGCGGAGCUCGAGCACUUUCGUGGGAGGUUCCCAUUUGAGGAUGACCUUCACCUUGGCAUUCUCCAUCAUAAGCUUCCCGCCCGUAAUCUUGUGGCCAAGGAACUUCACUUCUUGUUGGGUAAACGAGCACUUCUCCAUCUUAAUGAAGAGCUCAUUGUCUCUCGAAGUACUUGGAGGAAUUGUCGCAAGUGUUGGGCAUGCCCCUCGAGCGUGGUGCUAUACACCACGAUGUCGUCCAAGUACAUGACCACAAAGCGGUCGAUGAAUGGUUGGAGCACCUUGUUCAUGAGUGUGCAAAAUGUCACGGGUGCAUUAGUAAGGCCUAAAGGCAUCACAAGGAAUUCGAAAGACCCGUACCUUGUUGUGCACGCUGUCUUCGGUUCGUCUUCCUUGGCGAUGCGCACUUGGUAGUACUCGGAGCGCAAGUCGAGUUUGGUGAAGUACCGCGCUUUGCCAAGCUGGUCAAACAAGUCCGCGAUCAAGGGAAUCAGAUAUUUGUUCUUGAUGGUGAUCUUGUUGAGCGCUCUAUAGUCGAUGCACAUCCGCAGCGAGCCAUCUUUCUUCUUUUAGAAGAGUACAGGUGCACCGAAUAGGGCCUUAGAGCGGCGAACAUAACUUGCGUCCAGCAAGUCUUUGAGUUGUCUCCGCAACUCCUUAAGUUCGGGUGGCGCCAUGCAGUAGGGCGCCAAGGCUGGUGGCUUCACGCCUUGUUUCAGUUCGAUCGCAUGAUCUACCUCUCAUCGAGGUGGGAGCUUCUUUGGAAGUUCAGGAGGCAUCACAUCCUUGAACUCAUUAAGGACGACUUGUAUUCGCGGAGGGACUUGGCUUGGCAAUUUUCUGCAAUCUCCUUCCUCGUUUAGUUAACGAAUGGAGACCAAGAAGCUUGGGUCAUUCUUGAAAGCCCUUUUGAAUUACAUAGCCGAGAGUGUCUUCUCCUCGGUCUUGCCACGCUUGGUGGGAAUCAUGCAUGCAUUACUCCCGUCGAGGAUGCUUAGGGAGUUUGUAGCAGGCAGCGGGAAGGCAUGGACUUGGUCGAAGAAUUCCAUGCCGAGGACCAUCUUGAAGUCGUCCAUGGGCACAAUAGAGAAAUCAAAUUUUCCGCUCCAUGUUCCGAGUAUUAUGUGCACGCCUUGUGCAAUACCUGUAAUUGGCUUGGCGAGCGAGUUCACCGCUUUCAUCGUGCCUUCUUCCUGAGUGGCCUUGAGGCCUAGGCGCUUGGCUUCAUCUACGGACACAAAGUUGUGCGUCACUCCCGUGUCUAGCAGUGCGCGAACGGACUGACCGUUUAUCUUUGCGCUUACAUACAUGAGCCCUUUCUUCGUGAAUGUGGGUUGUUGGCAGUUGAGUGCGCCAAGGGGUUGGAGAGAACCCAUGCUGAGUUGGGGUUUCUCCGCGGACAUUGUGGGGUUGUUCUUGAGUUGGGCUGCGAGAGCAUUGAGCGACUUCUUCUCCGGACAGUCGCAUACCCAAUGAGGACUGUUGCAUAUGAAGUAUGGGCUGCGUGGCUUUGGCGCCUCUUUCUUGCCCUCCGUUUUGCCUUGCCCGCUCUUGUUGCUAGGCGGCUUUUUCUACCCUCAAUCUUUGCGGUUGUUGCCCUUGUCCUUGUGACUCUCUCCCCUACAUUUACUUUGGCUAGACUUCUUAUCUUUGGAUUGGGUAGAGUAUUCGGUGAGCGACUCCGCAACGGCGAUGACAUUGUCAAGUGUUUGAACACCCCGCCUAUCGAGCUCGGUCUUGGCCCAAUCCUUGAGGCCAUCUUAGAAGUAGAAGAGCGAAUCCUUGUUGGACAUGUCGCUUAUCUCCAACAUAAGGGUAGUGAACUCGUUGAUGUAGUCCCGAAUGCUACCCGAUUGCUUGAGGUGACGUAGGCGCGCUCGCGCUUCUUUCUCUGCAUUGCUUGGGGCGAACUGCUUUCGGAGUUCUUGCUUUAAGUCGGCCCAAGUGUCGAUGGUGCAAAUGCCCUUGCCCAUCUCGUCAUGAUUGCGAUGCCACCAUAGUUGUGCAGCCCCUCGAAGAUAGGUGGGUGUAGUGCCCACUUUUGAUGCCUCGUCUCAAACACCCAUGGCAUCGAAAUAUUGAUCAAGCCCAAAGAGGAAAUUGUCCAAGAUGGUGGCAUUGCGUGUGCCAUCGUAGGUGUCGGGCUUUGGCACGUCAAUGCAUCGCACAUCACUCGUGCUUGCGGAAGUUGGACUAGUGGAGAGUGUGCACUUGUACGAUGCCCAAUCCGAGCGGACUUCAUCCACUUCCGCACGGACAGUGCGUAGUUCAUCCUGAACAAAGCUACAAAGUUUAAGCAACUCAUCAUGAAAGGAUCGAAACGCACAUCGAAGAGUGUUCGCUUGCUCUUAGAUGAGGGCUUUAGUCGCCACCGUGAACUCGGCGUAUUCUCCUUUGAGACCGUCCACUCUUUCCUCUAAUCCCUCGAGGCUAUCUUGAGCGGCGGACAAUGCGAUUUCGAGAGUGCUUACACGAGGCUCCAACGCAUCCACGGAUAUGAGGCCUUGGACUUGCCGCGCUUGCCUUGGGCGCGAUCUCCCUCACGACCGAGGCUUGGUUCCGGUGGAACAUCCAUACCAACAACACCCUCUUGCGAUGGAUUUGAAGGGUUGGCCAUUGCUCGUGAGUUAACUUGCGUUGGUGCAAACCUUAGCUCUGAUACCACUUGUCACGGGAUGAGUGUUUUGCGCAGCAAACCCGUGCGGCACUUAAACAACUUUGUCGAAUGUUGCUAAGUAAGCAUUGAGCUUCUCGACUAGCUAAGCCUAGAGGUUUUCGAAGAGUUAGGGGGGAGAGAGCAAUGGAGUCGAAUGAGGAAAAUUGUAUUACUCCCAAGAAUACUUACAAGAGAGCUUACAAGUGUUUGAGUUGCUUGCUCUAAGCUUGUUGUGUAAAUGCUAAAUGCCAUGCCCUAUUUAUAGGGGAGGCUUGCCAAGCUUGAGAGAUUCUAGAAAAUUCUACCACUUCCUAGCUAUUUACAUAUGCUGGAAAUGUGUAGAGUAUUCUAAAAUAUUUACAAGCUUAAUGUGCUAGAGUUGCCUAGAACUUUCUGGAAUUGGGCCAAGUUAACACUCUUGGCCUUGUUUUGGGCUCUUGGUGGGCAAAUUGAGCUACCAACUUGGGCGGUCUGCAACAUUUAGCUCUAAAAUGACUAUACCUAACACAAGGAAGAUUAUUAUUGUAGAAAUUUGAAUAGAGAUAACUCGGAGAUUGACUUGUUGUAUAACGAGUAAUGACCAAGGGCAAUGAUAUUAGUAGCAUGUUGAUUCAAAUUAGAUAAAUUUAAUAAAUGGAUCCUUCUCUAGAUAUCAACAUUGCGAUGAAGAGCAUAGUACGAAAUCAGAAACUUCUAUGAUGAAUGAUAAAGAAAUAUACUUUACUUUUUUUUCCUUUUUCAGUUUUUUGGUGUAAUUUACUUUUAUUUAAUUUAAAGAGUCCAUUUGAUAACCACCGGCGGCCCAAAUAGACGAAUCUGUUGGCCUUGGCUGAGUCCAAUAUCUUCGGUUCGACACGUGUAAAGACUCAUUUCACCUUUCCUUUUGGUCUCCCCUCUCUCCAAUCUUAUCUUGACCUAUCUUGACCUAUCUUGACCAUACAAGACCUGCAAAUGGAUCCGGAGAAGCAGAAGAUCGAAUCAGAAACUCGUACCCACGAUAAUUCUUACAGCAAAAUUUCUUCUUCAAGCCCAAAAAAAUCCCAGACCCAGUUGUUAAUUUUCAUUUUCUAUGCCUCCUUGGCAAUCGCUUUACUCAUCUUGUUUCUUCCUCGUCAAAACGUCAAUGGAUGUCCAGUGCCGGCUUUCCUAUUUGCAUCACACCCAUCUCUGUUUCACGCACUGGUGUUCUCCGUCAUGCUCUCCUUCGCCGCAGCAUCUAGCGGGUUGUUGAUCGGAAUCAAUUCCCAGAGGCAGCAUGCAACAGUUCAGAAAUGUUAUUUCGUAAUUUCGGUGGUUUCCCUAGCAUCAGCUUUGUCAAUCCUGGCGUGCGCCUCGUUCCUUGAAAUUUUCAAGCUGGUUUGUUCAGGGAUCAAACUGUGACUGCUCAGUGAGGACUGAGCUGACUCUGUCAUUGUUUACAGAUUUGGAAAGAUUGGCUCUGCUUAUUAACAACUCUCUGAAGGUACUUGAAGGCAAGUUGCUUUGCCAGAAAUGAUAGACAAAGUUUCUAACUUUUUGAGUUCCAAAAUUAACUAGCUGUGUUAGAUUUGUAAUAUUGUAUAAAUGCUGACCAGAGUUAAGUAGAUCGGUAGUAAUUCAUGUAUAUUGUAUGUUAGACCUUCUAUCAAAUGUAUAUGGUGCUUGAAACAAUCUUUGGUCUUGUUGGAACUUUUGAGUCAGGUGGUUAUCUAAUUAACGUAGUUAGUUCUGCACCUCACUUGAAUCUAUUUUAUUGUUUCCUCUCAUCCAUGCAUGUUCUGGGUUUAAUACCAUUGCUAAGUUUGUUCUGCAGUCUGCACAGGAUACAUGUCAAAUCCCUUUUUUUCAUUAGCUCCAAGGGGAAUCUUCAUCAGAGCUAGUCCCUUAGAUUUCAUGGUAGGAGAUGAAGCUCCAUGGCUACGGAGAAAUUUGUAGAUCAAUUGCCCUAGAUAGAAAACUAUAUAUAGGGUCUCCACAAGUCUUUAUACUCUAUGAUUUCAUUCACCCCAGGCCAUGAGAUGUUGAUGAGUCUGCAAGUUUUGGAAUAAUACCUGACAUGAUGGUUUUUGAAAGCCUAUAUCUAAGCCUUCCACAAUUAGGUUUAAGGCUUUACUUUAACCAUCCCCUUAGGACCAAGCCAGGGUUUCCUUUUCAUCCUCUUAUGACUUAAAGACUUUGUACUGAUUUUGUGAUGUAAGUUCUCAGCAUAGUAUGAGAUUGAGACAGAGGCCCAAGGCCAUGGAGAAAGAUCAUAGAUCAGUCGCUCUACAUAGACUACAUAUAUAGAGGGUCUCUACAAUUGUAUAUAUGUUCUUCGAUUUUGUUCCACCCACCCUCAAUAUCACCACUGCCAUUGUCUGCAAGCUCUGGACUCGUGUUGCCCAAUCCAUCUUCUUUUGAAAUCCUGUUCUAUGGCUUCUACCACUAGGCUUUAGGCUUUACUUUCCUCUCUGCCAUUCUGUUGCAGAUCUUGACUUAAAAAUAAUGUUGUUACUGAACAUUUGAAUGAAGUGGUUAUAUAAUUAGACAAUUAGUUCUGCAUGUUACUUGAAGCUAUUCUACUUAUUCGGGUAUGAAUGUCUGGGUUUUCAAUUUGAUUCCAACAUUUCUUUCAAGAUAUCUGAUGUAUAUCCUGUGUCCUAUAACUUGAGAGACAUGAAAGAUUCAGGCAUUGAAUAUGAAGGGCAGUAUGCUUUAGAAUGUUGGUGAUUUAUAGACCAAGCUAAAAUUCCAUCUGAUAAUAUGUUUUACAGCUUUAUUGUUGGUCUCAAUUAUUUGCUCUUCUUCAUAGAUUUAUGAUACAAUGAUCGUAAGAAGCUAAGUAUUUUGAACAAGAGACUAUUUCUGUUAUGUAAGGGAGCAAAAUGGGUAUAAUACAAGAAGUUCUGUCCAAGCGGAUGAGAGAUUUAAGAUAAGUGGCAAAAUUUCCUCUAGAAUGUCAAACUCCUCGCUGCAUCAACUUUUCACUUCACUAGUAUAUCCUGAUUACAAUGAGCAGAAAACAAUCUUUGCGAGUUUUUGUGUGGUUAGGAAACCUGUAAUGUAACAUGAUGAUUCAGUUGUUAAUGCUUUCGCAGAACAUUGACUACCACGAAUUGACAACAAUGUCGCAAAAAGACAAUGAUUGUGAAACAAUGCGAUGAGGUUACUCAAGGCUUACUCUCUGUGAUACAGCAUAUUUUGCACACAGUUUACUGUAGGUCACUUCCUCUUCCAGUGGUUGAGUUUUUGAGAAAUGCAAGGCCUGUGACCCUGAUUCACCAAUGAGUACUUGAGUGGAGUUGUCGAGAUAUAUCUGAUGAAGAGUUCAUGGUGCAACUUCGUAUAGGAAAGUACGCAACCUUAUCAAUGAACUCAAAUCGGUUAGUAGGAUUCACUAAUGCAGGGCGGGCAUUGGACUAAAGCUUUUGCUCAAGUGGCUGAUACUUCAUUGAGCUAAUGACAGGAAAGAGGCUAUGUUGUAUAAGCAUGCCCAAAUUGCUUGAUGGGAAGUGUUGAUGAAUUUGGUUACUCGGACACAGAACGUGAUGCCAAGCAAAUGCUGGUGACUUAGCAGAGCCAGAUCGUGUUCAUCAUUUUACUUACACACUGUUGUGAUCGUAAGAAGGCAUAUCACAAAAUCUCAUAAACUUGAGACUUGAUGGCAUAUUUUUCAAAACAAUUUAUUGCAUACUCGAAGGAAUUAGAUGGAUAAAUUUAGUAGAUGAAAGUAAUUUUAAAAUUUUAAAAAUACAAAUCACUCCAAAUUGGGGAAAGGUACCUUGGUAUACAGCAAAAUUUCGUUUUAAAACUCAAAACUCAAUAGCAUCAACUUUCCUCUUCAACUAUCAUCCUGAUUCCUGAUUACAAAGUAGAAAUAAAAAUCUUCUACUGCAUCCAUAUCUUAAAUUCUUGGUAGCAAAUGCUGAAGCUGUGGCUGGCUACAACCAAAAAUUCACUACCAACAUUCUAUCAUACUGAACGAUCCACCCCAUGAUUACUCAGGGGGGCACCAUGAUGAAGUAUUAGAAUAUGUCAGUUCUCCAACUUAUGUAUGGACUUUUUUUUUUUUCUUGGGAUUAAGUUCUUAGUUCGUCAAGAAGAAUCUGAUUAUAUUAGAAACAUAAUUAUUAUUGAUAAUUGAUGGAUUUGGCUAAAAUGUUCCGGGAAGAGACAAGAUAUGCUUUUUGGAUUAAAAAUAUAAUAUAUUAUAAAUUUAAUUUAUGUAAUGAUGAGCAUCAGGCCUCCUAAUGUCUUGAAAUCCUGGUGUCUCUCUUGCCUUUCUUCUCUCCGCCCUAGAGUUAUUUCUAAUUUUGUCUUUCCUUUAAGCUUUCAUUUUUUUCAGCAUAAACCCAAUUGAAUACGUUAAUAUUAGCAACUUACUAGGUCAUUCGCAUAAACGCUUCGAAAGAAAUUCAGCAAUUUAGAGAAGCAAUUGGAGUUCAAGAAUGUCUCAUUAAAGUGAAGGUUAAUAUGCAGAAUUCGCUGCCGUUGCUAUUGAAGGUCACUGUUCAUUAAGCACCAUUUAACGCAAUACAUACAUCAAAUUUCGUUACGCUGACCCGAGGGGUUUCUAGCAGGGCCAAGCACAGCGCUGUCCCCGUGCCCCUUCUUUUUGGGCCAUGCCGGAUCUUAACUUCUGCUUCUUGUGACGGGGACCCAGAUGGGCCGCACGACCUGUUUGACACGUUUAUUGCAUUCUUAUUACCUUUCCCAAGCUAAUCUAGAAGACCAGCAAAGUUCGCCAUACCCAUAAUUUGACCUUUCUCCAGAGCUAAAAUGUGUAAGAAGAUGGAGUGAGGAACUCAUACGAAUGAUUCUUAUUGCAAAAUUCUCCACCUUUUUGGGUUCCAAAAAUAAAUUAACUAGUUGUGUUAGAUUAGUAAUAUUGUAUUGUUCUUUUUUUCCGCUGAUGUAGUGACCAGAGUCAAGUAGAUAUGGAUAAUAAUUCAUGUAUAUUGUAUCUUAGACCUUUAAGUACUUGGCUUUGGAUUUGGAAUCCAAUUUUUGUGGUACUUUUAAGCAAUUUUUGGUCCUGCCUCUACUCUUGAGUCAGGUGGUUGAUUUUCAAAAUGCAGGUUUCUUCAGGCUGGGGCAACUGAAUGAACACAAAAGCCGAUCCCUUCUUUGUCUGGAGACAAGUAUUUAUCUAGAAAUAUCUGCCUUCCUGCUUCUGAAUAACAUUCUGAAGUUAGUGAAAGCCAUUUUGCAGAUGCAAAACAGUAAUAAACAAAACUCCUUUUUGAGAUCCAGAAGAAUUAGCUGUACUAUCUCCUUUCUUUGUUAAGAUGGUUGCAUUACCGCGCAGUUAAGACUUGAUCCUUACGGUUGAAAAUUUAAACCUUCCAGUGAAGCGGGUAUCCAAAUACUUACACAUCGUUUGAAUGCGUUCUACUUUCAUGUAACACAUGCAUAUGUAUGUGGCAUCGUAGAAACUUUAUAAUGCACGUUGAGAAACAUAAAAGAUAGAGCCAUUCACGUAAUAAAUUUGAAGGGCGGUAUGCAGUAUGCAUAUGCUGUUGCCGAUAGAUCAAGCUGGAAGUCCAUAUGAUACUGCCCUUGUUUUUCAUUGCACCUGAGAGGCGUGCGGCUAAGCAGUUUAAACAAAGUGAAAACAUUCUCUCUAUUUACUAUUUACAGUACCCUGAUCACUACGUGCAGAAUAUAAUCUACUUAAAACGUCAACCCCUUUGUAACAUAGCGGUUAGUUUCACUCGAAUAAUUCAAACUUCCACGAUGCUUGCAAUUUUCCUUUCUUCUUGUUUUGGGGUGGGCCGGGGGUUUUCGGGGGAUAACUAAAAAGGUUUUACGGCAGGCCGCACAAAUGCCCAAAUCUGUUGGGCUGUGUUGGUCUAAUAACUAGGCCCUACUUGAAACAUGGGCCACAUGCCCCGUCGGACACGUCUAAAGACUCAUAUGACCUUUCCUCUUUGUAUUCUCCUCCCUCCCCAAUCUAAUCCCGAAUUCGACAUGCGUAUGCAAGACCUCAAAUGAAUCUUGAGAAAGAGACGAUUGACUCAGAAACUCAUGAUGUUUCUUCAAGCCAAGAAAAACUCGAAACCCGAUUGUUAAUCUUCAUAUUGUAUUCAUCCUUCGCAAUCGCUUUACUCAUUUUGUUUCUCCCUCAUCAAAACUUCAAUGGAAGUCCCGUGCCGACUUUCCUGUUUGCAGCACACCCCUCUCUGUUUCACGCCCUGGUUUUCGCCGUCAUGCUCUCCUUCGCCGCAGCAUCUAGCGGGUUGUUGAUCGGAAUCAAUUCCCGGCGGCAGUAUGCAACAGUUCAGAGAUAUUACCUCGUAAUUUCGGUGGUUUCCCUGGCAUCGGCUUUAUCAAUCCUGGCCUGUGCCUCGUUUCUUGAAAUUUUCAAGCUGGUUUGUUCGGGGGUCAAACUACGGCAGCUGAAUGAGGACGAAGUAGAUUCUGUCCUAGUUUUCAGAUUCAGAAAGAUCGGCUCUGUUUAUGAACUAGUUAAUUGAAGGUAAGUUGCUUCGCCAGCAAACAAUAAGCAAAGUUGCAUCUUUUUUAUUUCCAAAUUUAUCUAGCUGUGUUAGAUUUGUAAUAUUUAAAUAUUGUUCUUUUUCUGCUGAUUUAAUUAGAUGGAUAACAAAUUCAUGUAUAUUGCAUCUUAGACCUUUGAAUACUAAGUUGGCCUUGGAUUUAUAAUCGAAUAUGUAUAUGGUACUUCAAACAAUGCAGGUCUUGUUGGAACUUUUGAGACAGAGGGUUAUCUAAUUAUAUAAUUAGUUCUUCGUUUCAGUUGAAUCUAUUUUACUUCAUCUAAUCCAUCCAUAUUUUUGGUUCUGAUAUCAUUGAGUACACCUUUCCUCCCUUUUCAGAAUUAAACCAAGGGGAAUCUCCAUAGGAAGUUAGAAACUAGUCCGCAGAAAUCAUUGUAGGAGAACUAUGUGCUAUGUAGACCGAUAGUCUUAGACAGACAUCUGCGAUGAGAGGGUCCUCUACAAGUUAAUAUAUGUUCUUUGAUUCCCCUGCCCUUCCCCUGGGAAAAAAAAAAAAAAAAUCACAACUGAAGUGUCUGCAAGUUUUGGAGUAGUAAUAGCCACUGAUAGUUUUGAAAGCUAUUUCAAUACUUUAGACAAUUAGGAGUUUAGGCUUUGCUCUAACCUUCCACUCACGACCAAGCAAGGGCUUUUUUUUUCAUUUCUGCCCUCCUUUGACAGACUCUGUUCUGGAAAAAAUCAAUGAGGAUAAUGUCUUUCAAGAUCUAAUCCCACUAAAGUAUCCUUUUGCAUAUCAUAAAAGAUUCAAGCAAUCAAUUUGAAGGGCAAUGUGCAGCAAUCCAGUUCGUAAUAAAUCCCGGCACAUGCCUUGUUUACGGAGAUUAUGUUCAGGCAGCUGGUUUAUUCAGGUUUCUAGCUGUUGCGGCUAAAUGAGGGCAGGGCUGAUUCAUUCUUCAUCUGCAGAUAUGUAGGUAUUUUGAAAGACCUGUCGUCCUGCUUUUGAAGAGCUCUCUUUAAGUUAGUUGAAGCCAUGUUGCUUGAUGCUAAUAUGUUUAACAAGAUUCCAUCUUUGUAAGCUCCAGAAUUAAUUAGCUAGACCAUCUUAUUUCUCUAUGGAAAAUUUAAUAAUUGCAGUGUAUGAAGAGAUUGUUAUCUCAAAAUUACCUGAUUCAAGUUAAAUGUGAGGGGCAUGUUAGACAUUAUUCUUGAACAGUUUAAACCUUGGGGUGAAGUUUUGCACCUGAUUUGAAUUGUUCUACUUUUUAAUGUAUUCACUUCAAUUGAGGUCUGAUUCCAAUAUUUCUUGCAGGAAUGCAUUGUCUUCCAAGAUAUGUGAUUUAUGUAAUACAUGUUAUUUUAGGUUUUGAUUCCAAUACCUAAGAGUUUCAUGGUAUGUAAUUUGUGAUACUGCUAGAUCCUCUAAACUUUGUACUUGAGAAACAUGAAAGAUUCAGGCAUUGAAUUUGAAGGGUAGUAUGUUCAGCUCGUGAUAGAUUAAGUUACUGGUCUUGUUAUAUCCUAAGCAUCUGAGAACCUAAUCUUUGUAAUCAAAGAUACUGUUUUCUCGGUGAGAUUAACAAUAAUCCUUUUCAUACAUUUUCAAAUUGUUUCUUGUAUAUCGUAAGGGGGUUAAAAGGGGUAAAAUUGUUAUUUGACAACACAAAUCAGACAGGUUUCUCCAUGCUGGCAGCAUAUGUAUUUGUCAGAAAUACAUAAUUUUCACCUCGUAGAAGAGAGAUUUCAGUUAAGGAGCAAAUGCCCUUCAAAAUCUCAACCCUGUACGGUACUCACAAUGAGCAGAAAAACAAUCCCGAAUUCCAAAAAUGAAUUUGUUGUUAUCAAUCAAAAGCUAGAGUUGUCAUACUCUGUUUUGGUCCUCGUUAUCAGAAGCAGGACACGUUUCCAUUUCUGAUGAGAAUAUGAAGAUGAAUUUUUUGUUCCCCAGGCUUUGAAUUGUCACACUCCCCAACUGGUUCCCAAAUUCGUAGGAAAGCAAUACGAAAUGCCUCUUCGUUGAUUCGCGUGGGGGAAAGAGCCUUCCCAAGAAAACUUUCGCUGUCAAAAAAUCUUUAAACUACAACGAUGGCUGCCUUGGUUGGUUUCAUCCUUGAACAAGAAAACACACGCUUAUAUCCUAGGUUUUGAUUCCAAUACUUUUAGAAUUUCAUGAUAUGUAAAUUGUGAUGCCGUAUCCUUGAAACUUUGUACUUGAGAAAUACGAAAGAUUCAGGCAUUGAAUUUGGAGGAAAUUGAAGGGUCGUAUCUGUAGAAUGUUGGUGAUAGAUUAAGUUAUUGGUCAUGUUAUAUCCUAUGCAUCUAAGAAACUAAUUUAUGUAAUCAUAAGAAGCUAAGUAGUUUGAGCAAGCGAUUGUUUUCUCUGUGAGACUCGCAAUAAUAUUUUAAUGCAUUUUCAAAUCAUUUCUUGCAUAUCUUGAGGGGAACAAAAGGGUAAAAAUUCUUUUUGGACAAGAUAAAUCAGGCGGGUUUCUCCAUGCACGUAGCAUAUGUUUUUGUCAGAAUACGCGAUCUCCACUUCAAAAUAGAAGAGAGAUUUCAGAUCAGGAGCAAAAUGCCCUUCAAAAUCUCAACUCUGUAUUUGCAAUGUGCAGAAAGCAAAAGGUGCAGUUAUCAUAAUCAUGUUUGCUCCUCCUCAUUAUCAAAUUCUAGACACGUCUAUGCUUCAGUUCUGAUGACUGAUGAGAAAGUGAAGAUGAAUUAAUUGUUCCCACGCUUACAAUUUUGAUACUUCCCAACCAGUUUCCAAAUUAACAGAGAAGUGAUACGGAAUGACAUACAUGUCAUUGGCCAUACAAGUUACACAGCUUCUUAUGUGAAUAAAUGGAAAUCCAUACAGAUUAAACUAACUCCUUCAAUGCAAAAGGUGAUGCAACAAUGGGCAGUGUCCAAAGAGCAGCUGUAAGCCAUAUCAUGGCUUUCUCAGGAAAUCGUGUGCCCAAGAUCGACAAAAAACCGCAAAUUGUAAAAACACAUCCCAUCACUGUCAUCACUCCAGAAGUUUUGCGCUUUCUCUGAAACCAAUAAGCACCAAAGCUCAAUAGCAAUCCAGCAACACCAAAAAUCCCCACAAAUAGCAAGAGAAUUUUCGCAUUGGGUGUCAAAGAGGUCCCAGCAUACCAAAUUUGUAACGGAGCGAUACACACCCCACAACUGAGGGGGAGGCAUAUCUGGGCCACACUUGAAGGAUUGAGCUGUCUUUCAGCUGGAGGGGCUACUCCGCGCUCCAGAUCAGAUAAUGAUCUGUCUGGCGGUGGCUGCUCAUCACCGUCUCUGUUCUGAAGCAGAGCAGAGGCCCCUACACUCUGAUCUGAAGCAGAUGGUGUAUUAUUCAAUGCUGGUGAGGCCAGGUCGGAUGAGCCUACCUCCAUAUCAGAUAAUGAUCUGUCUGGCGGUGGCUGCUCAUCACCGUUUCUGUUCUGAGGCAGAGCAGAGGCCCCUACACUCUGAUCUGAAGCAGAUGGUGUAUUAUUCAAUGCUGGUGAGGCCAGGUCGGAUGAGCCUACCGUGGCAAAAGACUCAUGGCCUAGAUAACAACCCUCAAUUAUAUGGUCCUCGCCACCACCACCAGGAGAGCUCUGCUCUCCACUAGAUGUCUGACUUCUAAAGGCAGUUGAUCGAACACCUAGCCCAUAUUUAUCCAGAAGUAAUUCCAAUUUCUUAGGUUUCUUGAUCAACUUACUUGCCAAACCAUAAAGAACCUGUGGAGAAUCGGUUUUGAGUUUUGAAGUGAUUGUCUCUUGGUUGAAACCUCGUAUAGGUAAAGAACCCCACCGCUGCACAACUUUAUGAACGAAAUUGCACAUAAAUUCUGCCAUUGAUGGAUAGAAUCAGAUGACAUGAAACAUAAGAAAUUUACAGAAACUCACUGAAAACAACACGUACUCACAAGACACAAAUAGAUAAAUCAAAUCAAAUCAAAAUUCCGCCAUAGGAACUCAAGACCCAGUGAGAUAAAAUAAAAUUUCUAAGGAAUUGCAGGACCAAUGAAAUUUACUGAACAAUAAUUCUACUUCAUUCUCAUUUUCAAAAGUUGGUUGUAUCAUCUUCAUUUUCAAAAAAUAUAAAGUUUUUUUAAUUUUGUAAAUAAUUUUCUUUAUAAUAAUGUUGCAUGCUCCAGGUAUUAAUCCAAAAUAUCUUCAAACGGGAUACUGUUUCAUACCUGAUUCUGAGAUAUCCAGCGUGUGAUCUGGCAAAUAGGAAUACAUCAUGUCGUUGAUGGUCCUUGAAAUUUUCACAAAAAAUCUAAUCUUCAGAUGGUGGAGGAUCGAAAUACCUAAUUUUCCGUGUAUGUAUCUAUGUAUGUGUGUGUGUAUGUAAUUUAAAAAAAAAAAUGAAAAAUAGCAGAAUAAUCAAAGAGGUACUUACUUGAAGGUGGAUGGAUUUGAAGGCCACUCAGGUACAUACUUAUCAAGAGGAUAGCAGUGAAGUCUGAGGUAAUCUCUCCAAUUGUGAACUUUCUCCUUGUUGACAUUAAAACUCGUUGACAAUCUCAUUGUCUUUGAUGGAUCAUCUGAGUGGAGCUUCAGCUUCUCCUCAACUGGCCGGUUAAAAAACUCUUUCACCACUUCUAAGACUCUUUCCACUGCUUCUAAAGGCAAUUUGUGAUUUAUCACCUGUAUAUGCAACCAAUAUAUGACUGAUUAACUGGUUUGUACAUCUAUAUAACAAACUCAAAUGAUUUAGGGCAAGGAAAGUUUGAACACAAACCUGGAAAAAUCCAUAAUUCUUGCAAGCAUAAGCAACUUGUUGCACAAUUAAGCUUCUAUCAUCACAAGCCAAAUCAAUAACAGGAACGUUUUCGCAUUCAGAAACUUCAGACAGAUUUGGUCUCUCCGAUUCUGGCCUUACGUAGCUCUCCGGCAAGUUAGUGUACCGGAUUCCCGAGGACAGAACUUUGGUAUCCAUAAUUUGAUUUUAUUAAUAAUCUAUGUAUGCAUAUAAAUAUAUAAUAUAGUGAUGAUAAAUUAAAGAGAGCCCGUCUGCCUGCUCACAUAUCAUAUACGCAAGAGGCCAAUUUUAAGACAUUGAUGCCAAACCUAGGUCCAAUCCAAUAAGGUUUCGACAUUUGUUGCACCCGCAUCGGCAAUAAACGUUGCUCUUUGAUGAACUCCUUAGUAUAUAGUACCUUAAAUAAAUAUAUAUAAUAAUUUUUUAACGAAAACAUUACCAUUUUAAUAAAGUGAAAAGAUCAUUAAAAUAAAAAAAUAUUUUAAUAUAUUAACAUAUAAAAAGUAAUUUUUAAUAUACUGAAAUUUUUGUAUUUUUAUAUAUUAGUGGUCUCAUAAAGUACACACAUACAAUAUAUACUUUCAGUUAGAAAUUCUUAAUCAUAUUAAAGUUAUAUAAGUUAAAAUAUAUAUAUAUAUAGACCUCUAUUUACUAAGGAUUAAAUACACUAAAUUAAAAUCUAUAUUUUUUGUAUUUAACUUAUUUUUUACUUUAAAAUAAUUAGGAAUUCCUUAUUAUUAUGUGUGUGGAUUUAAUCUAUUGUGUGUCAUCACGCAAGUUUGGUACCCAAAGGUCCCCAAUGAUGGAUCGUCACACGCCAAAUGUACAUGUUACAAACUCAAGUUAAGGUGUUCAUUGACUAUUGACGAUGAACCUAGGUACGGGUCAUUUAAGUCGGUGAAUUGGGGUUACAUUUGUUUUAAUUAAUGAUAAAAUAUACACACACACAC
This 53399-nucleotide long non-coding RNA is filed under the name Citrus maxima (pomelo). RNAcentral describes it as "long non-coding RNA (CMAX_LNC002408)". The record is from RNAcentral. Lineage: Eukaryota; Viridiplantae; Streptophyta; Magnoliopsida; Sapindales; Rutaceae.